GUCAAAUUGGCGCCCCCCCCGCUGCUGUAGGCGCCCCUGCUUGCUCCGAAGGUGCUGCACAGAGGCUGACAGACUGUAUGAGACGAGGCGGGGAGAGAGUCGCGAGGGGACAGCUCUGCUCUGUGUACGCAUGUCAGCAUAUCAGCGGGAGCGCGGAUACGUCAUUUUGUAGUUUUUUAAUCAUUUCUGGAGUCGCGGUGAAUGAAAUCACCGUACCCGUCUGCCUUUGAUAGGCGAAUAAAGCGCUCGGGUUCAUGCUCGGAUCUUGCUAUGUGCUCGAUGAGCUUCAUGAGUUAAGUAAACAAUGACUGAGGCAGAGAGCAGCUUCAGAGGAGAAACAUCCAGCAGUGUGAACAACUUCUUCAGUGCUUUGGCUCACACUAUCAGCGUUUUCUCUGAGUGUUGCAUGACUUUGGGUGAGAACAGAGAUGAACAUACUGUCAGCCACGUAUUUAUUUAUUCAUUUUUUAGUUUUUAGUUCUGCUUUUGUACUGGCACUAUACUGGGGCAGCUGUAUACCCUUUCAACACCUUAUUUUCUAUAUUUACAUUUGUAUUGAAUGGACACUUUAUCAUGACUGCCACUUGUUUUACAGAAAGCAAAUUAUUUGUCAUUCUCCAGUGCAGAGCCUUUACUUUUAUUUAUACAGCCGCUUUAUUUCAUUUGAGUUUGUUUGUUCAAGGUUUUCAAAAAUGUGAUGAAGGUUCGCAAAACAAAAAGAUAGCUUUCUUGAAAGCCACAUGUAUAAGCUCUCAAAUACUUUUUGAAUUUUGUUGCUAUCUACUACAGAGGCCGAAAUAGCAGCUUUUUUGUAAACCUUAACACGUCAGAAAACCUCAGGAUCUGGGGGCCCUUCUCUAAAUGGCCCUCAGGAAGGAUUGAAGGAUUUCUGCAAUUGAGAAAUAUAUUAUUUUUGUUGUUAUAAUCAUAAUAAUACUACAUAAUAAUACAAAACUAUCUGUUCAAAAUUCUAUCUCUUUGUGUGUGUGUGUGUGUGUGUGUGUGUGUGUGUGGGGGGGGGGGGGGGGGGGGCACUUGGAGGGGUGCUCGCCCGGGGAGUAAUUUGGUCUAGAACCGCCACUGUCUAGAAGACAUCAAAGCCUGGAUGGCUUUGAAUUUUUUUUAUUUCAGUGCGAGAAAAACAGAUGUGGCACAUGUCCCAGUGGCCCUUGUGAAUCCCCUCCUGUAGACUUGGGUAUUUUAGCAGACUAUUUAAAGUCAACCGUCUCAAAUUUGGGUUUUAAGAUGGACAGUGAUUUUAAAUUUGACAAGCAAAUUAGCUCAGUUGUGAAAUCUAGCUUUUAUAAUAUUAGGUAGCUGGCGAAGGCAAAGCCAUUCCUUGCACGUAAGCACUUUGAAACAGUAAUCCAUGCCUUUGUUACAUCUCGGCUGGAGUACUGUAACACACUUUACUUUGGAGUCAACCAGUCCUCCCUCUCACGUCUCCAUUUAGUACAAAACGCAGCCGCCAGGCUCUUAACUGGAGUACGUAAUAGGGAGCACAUUACUCCCAUCCUGGCCUCCCUCCACUGGUUGCCCGUGCAUUUUAGAGUUCAUUUUAAGAUUCUUUUAUUUGUUUUUAAAUCUUUAAAUGGUCUGGCUCCAUCUUACCUCUCUGAGCUUCUCCACCCCUACACCCCUGCUCGGUGCCUCAGGUCAGCUGAUCAGCUGCUCCUGGAGGUACCAAGGUCCAAACUGAAGCUCAGAGGGGAUAGAUCUUUUUCUAUUGCGGCCCCAAAAUUAUGGAACGAGCUACCCCUCCAAAUUAGACAAGCCCCCACACUGUCCAUUUUUAAAACUCGUCUUAAAACCCAUUUUUAUUCAUUGGCUUUUAACCCUGCAUGAGACUCUGCUCCUGUUUUAUGUUUUGUUUUUAGUUAUUUGUCUCUAUGUUUUUAAAUUAGUUUUUAAAAACAUUGAAGCUAUAUUUUACUUUUUAAUUCUGCUUUUAUUUUAUCCAUUUUUUAAUUGUUUUUUUACGUCUGCGUUGUUUUGUCUAUUUAUGUACAGCACUUUGUUCAGCUGUGGUUGUUUUAAAGUGCUUUACAAAUAAAGUUGAGUUGAGCUGAGUUGAUUCUCUGCAAAAAGUCCCAAUCUAGCAUCUUCUUAGUCUUAAUCUCUGGAUGAAAAUGCUGUUCAGUCUUUUUCCACUGAAAAAUGAUGAAUGAGUUAUCAAUGCUGAUGCCAGUAUCAAUUUGAUCCAAUUCAUUAUCAAUUUCUGUGGAUUUCCUUUAUGUAAAAAGUCGGCCUGUACAUGAAAUUGUCCUACCUCACUGAAAUUAUUGUAAAUUUUUAUCAAUGGUGACAGAGUGCCACUGUUUCUGUUGGAUCAGAUCUGGAAAAAUCUCUGGAAAAAAAGGGCAGUCUCACAAAGUGAGUGAAUUUUACACUGAGGUGAAAAGUUGCUUUGUUAUAUUUUUAAAGCUGAUAUUAUAAACACAAUAAUAUUAUGUGGCUCUAAACAGCUUCUUGUACCACUCUUCCCUGCAUCUCGUUAUGUCCCCUGAUUGUUCUGCGGGGAAAAUUUUUGACAGCCAAUCAGUAAGCAUGGAGGGAAAUUAUGUUAUUAAUUUAAAACCUUUAAAACAGGGUCUGAUCUGGAACAGGUUUAAAUCCCAUCUCUCAAUUUGUGGUUUUAGUCUAGUUUUAGUGGAUAACAACCAUUUUAGUCUACAUUUGUGAAGUAGUGUCUCCGAUAGUAUACCAAUUAAUAUAAUUAUUAAUUGAUUAAUAUAAUUAUUAUAAGAUUGUAUCUAAUCUUAUUUGAAACAAACUCUAUAACUAAAUCCAAAAACACAAAUGGAGUUAACUUCUGAUGCAAAAACCUAUAUUUUGGAAUUUAUGUUUUUUUUUGUAACAAAAGUUGUAACUGGAAGUGGAACAUGCUGGCAUGAUCCAUGUUGUUCAUGUUGUUCUACAACCACUGCCCUGCCAUAAUGAGCCUAGACCACCUCUACUGUGAUGGGUGAGUGAUUCAGGGAGUUACUUUAAGACCAGCGCAUUCAACAGGAGACCAGAUCCUGAUUGAUUGUUUCCAUGGCAACUCUUUUUGGACAUGGUCCAACCUCCUGCAAAAUCUUCCCAUCUCAGGCAGAACUUUAUUGUAAAAAGAUGGAGGCAGAUGAGGCUCAUGCAGGACUUUCAAACGUUAUUGACUGAAUGCAUCUUGGAGUUAGAUAUUACGCUGAACAAUCAAAAACAUGUAUAUAUACACACAGCAAAAGUAUACACUUUUACCAUGGAGUUUUCAAGGGAUAGUUGUUUGUGCAUGUAUUGAUAUACUUCAAAAAGACCUUGCUCAUUCCUCUGUUCACAGAGGUUUUAAAACCUGCAACCAAAACAAAAACACCCUCCAGGUCCCUUUCUUAUAACAGUCAUCCAUAAGAAAGGCAAAGAUCCCAAAAUAAAAAUAUGCUCUUCCUUUGCACAGAGCUUAAAAGUAUUUCCAAAGUUUUGAGAAAUAGACUGAACAGGCUCCUCCACAAACUUAUCCAUAUUUUAAAGAAAAAAUUGUUUUUAAACACAAAGGGCUGAUAACUGCUGCAGAUUGUUCAACAUUAUUUAACAAAUACAAGAAAUGACUCCAGUAUCACGGUAUCAGUAGAUGCAGAAAAGGCUUGAAUUCAAUCUCAAGUCUUUAAUCUAAACAAAAUCUUAAUGAAUUCAGCUUCAGAGCCUUUUUCUGAUUUGUUUUCAUUUAAAGGAGAUCGAGUCAAAUUCUUUUUGCUGCUAACAAAUUGAGGGGUAGUAAUGUGGUUUCAGUUGCAACAACAGUAAGUUCAUUGGCUUCACAGCAGCAUUAUCAUUCAUGUCGGUCUUUAAAAACAAACAAACCAAAGAAGAGAAAGAAAGCUCCUGAAUGCUCCAUGUUCAGGGAAAAGGGAGUUUAAGCUGUGUUUUUGUGCAGGCCAGCAUCCAUCAAAGAAAGAAAAUCAGUCUGGGACUCUCAGACAUAGCUGUCACGUAUCCUGUUUGGGGCAGGAAACGACUGUAUUUUACCCCUCUUUCCCACUGUCUUCCAGUAUCAAUAUUCUCUGUCAAUCUCCCGUAUUAUAAAAUAUUUAAAUAAUAAUACUUUGCCUCUCCAAACUGAACUUGAUCACCAACUUGUAGUAGUGAGUUGUCGUCUGUGAUUGCGCAGAAAAGAGGGUAUAGGAAAUUUAUUUUGUAAUUCAAAACUUGACAGUUAUGCUCUGAGGUAUUUUCAUUUUCAUGUUGAAAUGCCAAAAGCAAUUAAGAUGUGUUAAAAAUAAGGUGAGUAACAGCCAAAGUGACUCGGUGUGUAGCUCACUUUCUCAUUCUUCCUUCUGAUUAACACGCCACAUAAAUGUUAACACUUGAUGAGAAAUGCUUUCACCUUGUAACACGUUUAAAGAAUGAAAUAAACUAAGACAAGCAAAAAAAUGUAACUCAGUUAUUGGAAACAGAACAUCAACAAGAAAAGGACUUCAAGUUAUUUAACAGCCAAAUGACUCAAGUAAAUAAAGAUGAGUGCUUCUUCCAAAGUCAAGCUGUCAUAAACUGAGAGCUAAAUCUCUGGAGUGGUGAGUAAAGGUAUCUGAAAGAGAGAGGUGAGAAACAGAAUUCAAGUCCAGUUUGUGUCCUGGAUGGUUAUGUGACACUUCCUGCAUGAAGGCCUCAGAUGUAGCUAUAAUAGUUAUGAUAGUUUAUCCUGCCACUCUGGCUCCGCUGCACACUUAUUGUCUUGAUUCACAGGGCUCUAUUUUCGUGUAUGCCGGUGAGGCGGCGGAGGGUGGCGGACCCUGCGCAGUUGUAUUUUUGACCGGUGGAGCCCGGCGUACAGCCAGUUUGGUAUUUUCAUGGACUGAGGCGCACCGAGAUCCGCGAAGCUGGACAUGGCAGGGGGAGGUGUCGACAGAAUCAGCAGGCGCAGUGACAUUUUCAUGCUCGCCACCGUCAUAUAAAGUGCGCUGACAGCUCGCCAAUUCAAACCUGGUCAGCUUUCAGCGCAGGCGAAACACAGCUGGUCUAGAGGUAUUUUGGUAGACCGGCGGCGUAUCGGCAUACGUCACCGAUGCCUCACCAGCAGGUUUACACGGUAUCAGACACAUUUCAGUGCAAUAAAUAAACAACAACAACUAAUAAUCUGAGUCAGCACAUACAUUUAGAUCCACAUAGAUAUAUUCUGAUCCAUAUCUGAUCUGAUGAGCGCAUUUGGCACGCAUUUGGACACACAACCUGACCGAAUUAACACAGCUGAAACCGCAUUAAAUUAAAUUAAAUACCUAGUAAAUAGACACACAUGAUGAAGUGAACAAGAUAUGUAAUUCGUCUCCCUCCCUUUCUUUCUUAUGCUUCCUCUUAUUUCUUGCCCAGCUCGACCUGGACAUGUCUCUGUGUCCUCUUCCCGUCCUGCUGCUGCUGCGGCAGCUGAACAGAUGAUUUGUUUCAGUGAUCAGAUGAGUCAUUUACUUUAAGACUACAUACUAAUAUUUUUGUGAGCCAAAUUUAUUUUAUAUGCCAACAUCUAUGAAAGAAAGAGCCAGGCCACGGAGCGCGAUGCGUAAUUUACGCACAGAUGGCUCAGAUUUUAAUGCCAUUUUUGGAAUUUAUGAUGUGAUCUGUGCGCACAACCCACCUUUGUCACGUGAGGUUUGAAUAUGUGCAACAUUAUGUGAGUGUCUUUAUUUGUGGAAAAGGGUGUUUGUCUUACUAGUGGGUCCAAACUUACACACACCAAAUCUAUCUGUGCUCAUAUGAGAGAGUGUGCAGGACACCCGCUGCAGUGCUUACAGUGACACUUGUUGAGGGGCUGCCUUCUGUCGCCAUCGUGUGGCAUUACUGUCUUCAGGCAUCAUCUCUUUGAAUACUUAACGAAAAUAGUAAUACACCUCGCCGGUGGUGGAUUUAAAGGUGAGGAGAGGAGCUUAUGUGAUUGGUGAAAACAGGUCUCGGCUGUGUUAAACCCACUCCACGCCCUCUCUCCUCCCUCUACGAUUUACGCCGCUGGGAGGAGCUGAGUUAGGGAGGGGGGAUACUUACACCGGGCUGCGCCGCUCACCAAAAUACCAAAUUGUGCUUGGGAACGCCUUGACGGCGCGGCGGACCUGACUUACGCCGCGCAUGCACCACGUCGCCGGCGAGGCACGAAAAUAGAGCCCACAGUGUUUUCUAGCCAACUGGUACUUCACAAGGUUUAUGCAUUUAAAAAUAAUCCACUAUAUUCUUCUGUAAGUGCACAACUACAUGAUGAUAUCCUAAUAGCUGUUAAAAAGUGGCCACUAAAUUGGUCUGCCUUACGUAUCCAGCAUGCUUUUGCAGCCACUCAGUGUGCAUAUCCAUAUCCAAAUCAACAUAUGGCUAACAAGUUAAGGUAAGAUAAAAUAAGAACUUUAUUGAUCCCUGGAGGGAAAUUCAAAACCUUCAAGAGAAGUCACAGACAUGUCGUCAUUCACACGAUUCUUCAUUGUUGUAAAAAAGAGAAAAUGCAGAGGCAAGUAUUACAGGAUGCUACUAAACACCAGUUCUCUGCUGUAUUGAACAGCAGAGAACUAAGAAUGCCAAUAACGUUACAAGCAAAGUUUUCCACAAGUGAAAAUACAAAAUAAAAAGGUGACUAUCGCUGUUGGCUGAAUUUUCAAUUAGCUUUAUUAUGCAUGUAAACUUAAUGAAAGUUUCAAAUACUUGAUAAAAAAAAGAGAUGCUAAGAUAACAUACAGUAAAACUACAUUUUUUAGACCUGCCCAAUUUAAGUCUGAAUGACAAUUUAUAUUGACUACUUAGCAGUGUCCCUUUCUCCUCUGGUGUCCAGUGUGUUUAAGGUAAGUUGUGUUGUCCUUAUCCCACCUUGAGUCUAACCUUGAGACAACAGGCACACCAAUUACACCAUGAAUUUUAAAUCAUUGCGUCCAGAUGUCUUUAAUAUCCUCCCUGACAUCAAGCUUCUGCAAUAUUUUUCCCCGGCAGACAAAAGCCUCUUCAUCCUACAGGACCGUGGUGAAAGUUUCAUCUCAUCAAACUUUAAAGAAAGACGAAGGACAUCCAUCCACUCUAAUGUGUGCCCCUCAGAGCAGCUUCUUGACGUGGAGCACUUCCAGGUGUGAUUCAGCUCACAGCAGAGAGCUUGGCCCCAUGCCACAGGUGUUUUAGGCCCCGGCCAAAUGGAAGCAGCUCUCCCAUGAUUAAUGGAACUGCACCCUGACAGGUGAGACAGGCCAAGCUGACAGCUUAUGUCUCUCUUAUGAUGCGUCAGUCAGUCAAAAGACUUCAGCAUGCUUUACUGGAGUUUCCAAGGAGGAUUAUUCGACACAUGUAAGCUAAAUAUAGACCCACUGAUCUGCAUUUAGUUAUCAGGUUUUUUUCCUGUAACUUCUGGACAAGUUAUGGACUUGAAAGCUGUUACACGGACAUUAUACUAUUACUGUGUUUGUACAUCAUUAAGCUAAGUACAAAGAAGCUCCAGCUCCAUGUAAGCAGUGUUUCUGGAGCGCAACAAUGGCAAAAGGGUAAGUAAAACUUUGACACUCCUGAUGUAAAAAAUAAUCUACCCCAAAUAUACUGUUUAUACCUAUGACUAAAUAGUAAUAUGGCAGAGGACAAUAAGAAGGCAGAUGACAAACAAAAGGAACAUUUUUUAGAUCUGGCCUUAUUUUUGAACAACUAACUUAAAUCUCAAAAAUUCUGGUUCAAGUCUGACAUGAAAAAGAAAGUCUCUUGUUAUGUCCACAGUUAUAUGAAUAUUUAAAAAAAAUGUUUAGUUUUAUAUUUUAAAUUUUUUUUAUUUCUACAUUAAAAAUUUCUAUUUAUACAGUAUGUACAAAAAUGAAUACAUCAAACAAAAUCCUUGUCCAAUCCAAAGGCGUUUUGGGAUAGUCCUCUAUCUCCAUAACGACAUAGAACUGGCUCAAAACCCCAACAAAAACAUGCCAGUAAGUGCUGAUAACAUGUCAUUGGUCUGUCAGGUCAGGACAUUGUGCACUUGUGUGUCAGGUGUGGUUUUAAUAAAUAAUAAUAAUUCAUCAGAUUUCAAAUAGCACUUUAUCAGAGAGCCUCACAGCGCUUUUAUUUGGUUACAUCAUUCAUUUGCUUACACAGUCCCACCUUGGUGGUGGUAAACUACCUUAGUAGUCACAGCUGCCCUGGGGCAGACUUACAGAAAUGUGGCUGCCAGUUUGCACCUCUCAAACCACCACCAAACAUCACUCACAAUCAUACACCAGAGGAGAACACACACUGGCCCUCAUUUAUCAAGCUUGCGUACGGCAGAAAACUCACAUACACCUUGCGUGCGUAAGUUGCUACAUGAGGAUCGGCAUUUAUCAAUCUGCACGUCAGCGUACACUACGACCAAAUCUUACGACAGGUCUGACAUCGUGUACGCAAGUUUGAGUCAGUGUAGAUCUGUGGUGCAACAAAUGUCCAUCUCAAAAUAAUUGAUAAACAAACCUCAAACCCGUCAUUAAGCACAAUCAGCCAGAUUUAAUUAAAGAUUAAGACGUAAAUAAAAUAAAAUAAAAUAAAUAUGUUAUGUCCUUAGUGAAUAGGUCUAUUUGAUAACUGCCCAGAAACACUGCUACAGAGCAGGAGUACCAUUUAAACAUUGCGCACACACGCGCCACUGUGGAGUGCCAUGUUUGACUCCUAAAAGGCAGGUAGCUCUGUCUCGGCCCAGCAGUGGGGACGUUGUUGUACACUCCUGAAAGGGUGUGGGACAUCAUUUGAGCCAGUACAGUUUUGCACAAUGUUGCACUGGCGAAUGUAGUGCCGUUGGCUGUGCCAGUGCAACGUGAGGACCCGAUGCCCGGAGAACAAUAACGAGGAGAGACUCCACAAAGGAACUGUACGGAGGAGACAGGACCUUUUCGCUGGAUUCUGACAUGUAAAGUUCAGAAAGUGCUCUUGAUAUUUAAUCAGUGAUAAAAAUCCAAUAGAAAUCCAUAAAAAUGUGCCUCAGGGGCAGCAACACACCGUUUGGUUUACGUUAAUAAUUAUUUUUGUUCAGCCUCUGUCAGACUCAACUUAUUGACUAAUAAUUUAUUUAAACUUCAGACACGGUCCCCUAUUUCGUGGCAGCACUAUUCACCGCCACCAUAAUCCUGCUCCAGACAGGAGAUUCCAGGACUGCUUUUAUACCAGUUUUGAUGCUUCCAAAGAGCAAAAUCCUUGUUAGUUUCCACCACAGAUGUGAGGAUAUCCACUUUCAGCUCGGAAAAAUUUUCAAAUCUUUCUAAUAUUUCUCCUCUUUCAUGUUUCAUGCCUUGCUGAAGGAGGCGUUUGGUCUGGAAAAGGAGCCACUGUUGGACCGGUCCCACCGGACCCUGCAGCCCAAACCCAAACCCGGUGAUUGUCCACGCGCCAUUGUGUGCAGGUUUCAUUAUCACAGUGACUGUGUUGAUGUGCUGCGCCGCGCCAGAGAGCCCUGACAGACCAAAGUGAGAGAUUUGUCCAUUUAAAAAAACAGGAGUUGAACCAACUCCUGGCUAUACUAGACUAACCUUAAUGCCAGGCUGCAACACAAAGAACCAUACAGACAUGUGGUUCAUCAAUCUAAGGUUAGGUAGAGUAUCUUUCUCAAGAACAUUGCACCAUGUUGACUCUAUUCAUUCUUAAACACAUUUAACUUUUAAACACAAGUUUUUACUGACCACCUGGAUAUUCUGUAUCUCACAUUUAGGCUUUGUUAUUUAUAACAACAAAAAUCCAUUUCACUGUCAGGUAAGUAACUGGAUGCCAUCUGAGCUAAUUUGAGGGACUGUGAUAAUGUGCUGCUCCUGUAAGUAUUUUAAGCCAAAAUUGGCAAGUUUAUGUUAAAACAGAUGUCCUUUAGCUGCUUUACAGCUGGUAGCUAUCAUUAAAGUGUAAUUAAAUCAGUCUAAUUAAAGCUUGUACAUAAGCUGUUCUGGCCAAAGCCUUCAUCUGUUAUCACUAAACACCAAUGAACAGAUGAUUUUAAGGAUCAGAAACAGGCCCAGAGGGUCAUUUUAAAACAGCACUCAAAGGCCCAUUACUCUUUUAGAGGUGCAGUAACAUUAUUAGAGUAUAAGACAAUGAUUUUCAAUGUGUGGGACUGUCUGUACUUCUAAAUGCUAAGAUUUGUUUUUAGCAGUGGACUGUGCCACUUAAAUAUAAAGCAAGUUGCUGCAGCCUCCCUGUUAGAUUUAAAGCUAAAAUUUUGAGACAAUGUGGAUUUAUUUUUUCAACCAGAAGCUUUUACGUGAAAAAAAAUACAUCCAAGAGAAGGAAAUAGAAUCAUGGAAAAAUGAGACUGGAGAUACCAGUCAAAAUGACCAAGACCAAAGAGUUCCAGGCCAGCCUCGCUCCCAGCAUGUCCUUCUGAAAGAUGGUGCGCAUUACAACGUAAUCAGAUCAAUUCCAAGCAAAAGUUUACAAAACAUUUUUAAAGGCAGUAAUGUUUGUCAGCUUGUUUUUGCUUUGACUGGUACAUGAUUGUUUUGUGGUCUCAAGGUGACAAGCACAAGUUGCUAGUCAAUUUUUCCAUUUACCUCAUUUGAAUCCAAACUUCCUUUGCCAAUGAUGAGCCGUUUCUUGGUUUAAGUAGUGAGACAGUAACAUUUGUCUCAAAGUCGUCUACCUCACUGUGUCACCCUCUAUAUGACUUUGCCCUGUGGAAGAAGUUCCUCAGUAAUAAAAAUGACCUCAUCCUGGCCUUGCAGCAGUGUGAGCAGUGACACAGAGUAGAGAGGCCGGUGCCUGCACUGCUGAGGGCCAGAUAACAGCUAAUCAGAUGUGACAGCCCAGAGAGAAAACAGGCCCAGCUGAUGGGGCCAAAAUGAGAACAGAAGGUCCUUUGAUUCAUGUGCUUUAAUGUUUACACAGAGGGGUUAAAGUAUGCAAAGCACUGGCUUAGUAUUAAUGAAUAAAGGAGGGGAGAGUGAAGGGGAGAACAUAAUAGAAGAAUACAGUUUAAUGUGGAUAUCAAACACUUUACCAGACACAGAUUUGGAGAUAAAGUGGUACAUAAAUACAUGUAUAUUUCAAUAUACAUAUGCAAUUGAAACUGUAUGGUGUCUAUAAACCAUCAUAAUUUUAAAAACAAUAUUUAAGUUGUAAUGUUUCUUAUUAUCGCCAUAUCUCCUUGUGCAACUUGUUUACUGCCUCCUUGUCGUCCAGCUACCUGAUACUCAGUCAGGAGAUUUACAUGUAGGGUUCAAUCACACCUAGAUCAGCUGAUUUUACUGAACUACUGUCCCUGUCCCAGUUUACAAGCAACCGAUAAGAAUCAAAUUAUUGACAGAAGCAUGCACUGUACCUUGGCCAGGGAGGUGGCGAAUUUCCCUUUCAGCUCCUUACUAUUAGGUUAUCUCCUGGUGGAUGACUAUGUAAGGGAAAGUUGGACAAAAUGUGUCAGCAAGAAGCCAACGGGAUGUAUGUCAAACAAUGAAAACAUUUUCACUUUUAUAGCUCUGUGCUGUGUGCUUGUACGAUAGGAAACUUUUGGCUUUUUUUUCACGUCCUUUCUUCAUCUGUCAAGGUUUUUACAACCCAGCUUCCUGACAACAAGUCCAAGGCCUUCAACUCAGGUUUCACUUCAUGUGAGCCGCGGGUCCCGGACUCUGAGCACAUUUUGGGACUGCACUCUCCAGCCAGGCUCGGUGACCUCCCACACAGUCCCAUCUUACACCUGCUCACACAGCCUCACAACUGAAAAAUAAUUGUACAGAUACCUGAUAAGAGGCUGCACAAUUACCAAAGUUUCAUAAAAGAAAGAGGAAAAGGAUGCCAACAGUAUAACAAAUCAUAGGAUUAUUAUUGUUAGAAUACAUUUGGCUUUUUUUCUUUAUCAUUUUUGUAAUCAAAUAAUAUGUGCCAACAAAAUGUGUGAGUUUGGUGAGCUGAAGCAAAGUUUAGGCAGAAAUAAAGCCUGCCUUUAUUUGUGGACAGUGAGUCCUGCAGACUGGCUGCUGUCAUGUCAGCAGGUGUGUCUGCUGAUGGGAAAAGACAACCAAGGUUUGUGCUUGUUUGCUAUAAGUUUGUCGGCAUAUUUUAUGGAGAAUAAACAUGUAUAAACUGCCUUUCAAAGACUAUUGUCCUAUUCGAAGAUGAAGCCUCAGUGAUGUCAGAGUCCAGUGUCACAUAAUGGUGUUCUGUUGGAAUAGGAGGUUUUCAGUCACGUGAUCCUGACUUCGCACGAGGACCAAAUGGAGGGCAGGAAGUGACCGACUGCAAUAGAGGAGUAGCGGGAAAGGUCGUAUUGCACCGGUUUAGAUGCGUGCCGGUAUUUAGCCUUAGAUGGAGUUUUUCACCCGCUUUGGGCUGCAUUCCCAAACAACCUGACUCCAAGAAGACCAUACCCCGUAGCGACUGGGGCCGCUACUGGCCUCACACCGUCCAUGGGAUUCGGCGCUGGGCUCUUCCCUCUUCACUCGCCGCUACUGAGGGAAUCCUGGUUAGUUUCUUUUCCUCCGCAUAGUAAUUUGCUUAAAUUCAGCAGGUCGUCUCGUCUGAUCUGAGGUCGUAUUCGAUUCAAGCAGCCGUAAACGGAGCAAAAUAUCAACAUGUUGUUGGUCUCUAUAGCAGCAACUCACUUCCUGCCCUCCAUCUGUAUUGCACAUGUGCCGUGUAACACGGAAGUGACGUCAAGUGAAAACCUCCUAUGGGUCUUUUUUUCUUGUGAGGAGGAUUACCUAUAAACAUGCAUGCAGCCUCAUAUUCACAGUUUGUCAGACUGCUAUGCUGUGCCAGUUAUAGCCAAUAACUUGUGCCGACAUCAACCGUAAUUAGUUAUUAAUAUAUAUAUAUAUAUAUACAUUAUUCAGGAUUCCUUCCUUCCUGGAUGAGGCUGUAAACCUGACAGUUGGCUCAAAAGGUUUGGAUUUGUUUUGGCUGUGGUUCAGGCUUUGAGGCCAAAGUCUCAUCCUCUAUGCUCUUGUCAAAAUCACUGCCAUCCCAUCAGACUCCCCCUCACUCAUCUCCUGGAUUGUGGGGAUAGCCACUUCCACAGAAAAUCUAUGAGGAAGUCCUCUCUUCAUGUUUGUUUGAAAAUAUUUAUCACUUUGUGUGUGUCUAUCUGAUUGUCUGUCUGCCUGUUUUUAUCUCUGUGUAUGCCUGUUUGAUAUCCUUCGUCUCUUCCUCCCCAUCCAUAAACAAAGAAUUUUGACACAUAUUAUAUCAAAGCCAAAAAAAAAAAAAGGUAGCCACACGAAAUCACUUAUGAGAAAUGUAUCACUAUGCUUCUGUCCACAGUCAUCUAUGUGAUGGCAGCAGCGAUUUGAGAAAGAAAUGCUUAGAAGUCGUAAGUGCUUCAUCACACAACCUUAUAAGCUUUAGCAAAUAUGCAGAACAUAUAUUUAGGAAAACCAAUGGUGCGACAGACUUGUAAUUUUAAUUUUAACAAAUUUGUUGGCAUCCAAAAAUCCCAAGCCUUUAUCAGACUCCAGGGUGGUAUUAGUGUCAAACACCAUCACUUACAUUUUAACAAUAAUUUCAAAUCUGUCAUAGAUCUUUCAUUAUUAAAUUUUGUCUCACUGGAAUUGUAAGGUUCUAUCAAAUGCUUUCCACAAAAUGUCGUCAUUUUUUCCUCAUUCUAUCUGUUUUGUGACUGAUUAUCUUCCAAAAAAAGUUAUUUCUACUAAGGUCAAAGCUGAGCUUAGCUCUACAGGAUUUUACCACUAGGGACCAAUCAGAGUUGACCUGUUGAUGAUGUCACUGUUCUACUUAGUGGGGGCAGGGGAAGGGGAAGUAGAGAGGAACAGAGUGGGCAAAGAAAUGAAAUUGUCAAACAGAGUUUAGGAGAGUCCUGAAAACAGCAUUAUUUUGGAGGAGCUCAUGAAGGACAGUGCUUCAGGCACCAAACACGUUUAGUCUUCUUUAUUUACUGUUAGCUGCCAUGCUAUCAGGAAACUAAUAGCUCGCUAAAGUCCAUCAACCCAAUCCAUCCCCCUCUUCUCCAUCACAGCUGAUAACUCAUCUCUGUCUCCUUCCUCCUUCACCCGCAACCUUGGACUCAUCUCUGGUACUCACCUCACCUUUGAACAACACAUCAAACAGGUCACUAAAUCAGCCUUUUUUUCACCACAAAAACAUUGCCCGUCCUCACCCAUCUCUCUCCCUCCCCGCAACAGACACCCUGGUCCACGCGUUCAUCACCUCAAGGUUAGAUUACUGUAACAGCCUCCUGUACGGUCUACCCUCCAAACUCCUCAACAAAGAUAGUCCAGAAUUCUGCCGCCUGCCUCCUUACCCACACCCGUUCACGAGACCACAUCACCCCUGUCCUCCUCCGUCUACACUGGCUCCCCAUCAAGCAACGCAUCAUGUUCAAGAUCCUCCUUCUCACCCACAAAGCCCUUCAUCAACAAGCCCCCCCUUAUCACUAGAAGGACCACAGAGCAGCCAUUUGGCUUUACCCCCCUCAAGGUCCACGGGGCAGCUGAUCGGCUGGAAGGAUUUUAGCUAAUAUCCUAAAUCGGACAGUCUCUCCCCACUGGGAUGACUGGGGUCCUUGCAAAGAUAUGGGAGGACAUUGCAGAUGUACUUGGAUUUCAAGUCACAAGCCACCCAAAACUUGAUCCCAAACGUGUCAGGUUUCAUUGCAACGUACUGCAGGAAACAGCAGCGAGUCUUUGACAGGAAAAGCUGUUCGUCAGUGGUGAUGUGUCGACCAGAGUUGUAGGAUGUGAUGCAGUUGGUGACAAAUGACGACCACACGGCAGAAAUUGCAGCAAACUUGUCAGUCUUUGUGCGCUCACUGCGGUUGAACAGUACAGUCUUGAAUAGAACCAAGCAUGUCCAGUGUGAUGAAACACAGGAAGCUCUGAAGACCAGUCAAGAUGGACCUCCUGGCCUUAGCUGUUGGUUCUCCAUCUGCUGAGGUGCAGGGACAUCAGGAGAAGUAGAACCGAACAAAACAAACAGAGGCCCAAACUGUCUGUGCAGUGGCUAUGGCUGAAGCAGUUUCUGUCUACAGUUGUUCUCAGGUUAGAAACUCCCCUCCCCCUCCCCACUCCCUCUCCCAACAACACAAGUUUUCUUGGAGUAACUCAGCAUAUCCCCUCCUGUGGUGCGCCAGCGAUCGCCUCGUUUGCAUAACAAACUGAGUGUUCACAGGUGAUUUAGUACUGGCUAAAAGCCCUCCAAGCCAUUUGGCUGCCCUUUGGUCUUUAUAGGUAGGAACAGCAAAAGCUGGUCCUUCUAGUGUUAUCUCACCGACCUGCUCCAGCCUCAUGCACCCCCCUGUAACCUCUGAUCCUCCUCUGCUCAUCUCCUCACCCCAAAGUCACGACCCAAGCACAGAACCUGGGGGGAGCGGGCAUUCUCCACAGCUGCCCCUACCCUCUGGAACUCCCUACCACCCUCCAUCAGACACUGCCCUGACCCCACUGCUUUCAAAUCCCUUUUAAAAACUCACUUAUUUAAAAUUGCUUUUAAUAUCUAACUGUUUUAUUCAUUUUAUUUCUACUGUUGUUAUGUCUUUGUUUUAUUACCUUGGGUUUUUGUACUAUGUAAAGUGUCUUUGAGUGUUUUUAAAAGCGCUGUACAAAUAAAAUGAAUUAUUAUAAUUAUUAUUAUUAAAGUGACUUUGACAGCUGGUGCUGACAUGAGAGAGCAAGCACAAAAGACAGUUUUUUUUCUUUACCUUUUUCAAGAAAUAUUCCAACAACAUUUUCUUAUUACAGCGUUGAAUUAUUAAGUAAUAAAAUGUUUUAAGUUUGCAUGUGGAAUGCUUUUCUUCUCUAUGUUCCUUUUUUUGUGAUGACCUGGCACACAAUCCCUGAUGCAGAAGUGUGGAGGAGCAAUGUGCAAAAACAGCAGACAGAUGCAGUCACAAGCUCUCCAGCAAUACUUAUGAAUAUAAUAAACUUUUUAGAGUCAAGUGAAUCUAAUCUAAUAUUAGUACUUUGUAACUGUUCUCUUUAAUUGUUUCAAGGAAGUUUGGUAGCUCAAGAUCAACCAGGAGAACGUUAUAUUUAAAAUAAAAGUAAGUCAUAGCGUCACAAGUCAGAGGCAGCUUCAAAACGCUUCUGAGAAAUGAAGUAGUUAUUUUUAAUAUCAUUUCACUCAUUCAAUACGUCCAACAUGUCGUAUACAAUACAUGUCACAAAUGGUGUGCAGUUUUUCAGGGAUGAUUCUGAUUCUUCACUGACGUCUAGCGAGGCCUGGUUAAUGGGGCAGAACCUACACUCUUCAGGAGUUCCUGUUUGGUUCCUUUUUCUGACUAACACAGCUGGCAUACCUGUGAAGCUUAAGUUCCCCACGAUAGAAAGGCAUACAAUAAUAAUAAUAAUAAUUAUUAUUAUUAUUAUUAUCAUUAUACAAUUUCGUUUAUCUAGUGCUUUAAAAAGACUUAGACCUCAUUCUUACACAGUCAUAUAAUCACAACACGUCAACAUGAGGACAUCCUUUAGAUUCAAGCCAACAGGAUCACUGGUGAGGAUCCCCUCAGGCACAUACAUGGAGAUACAGCAUUGGCUGUUUUCUCCUGCUGCUGUGAUACCUCAGUGCUUUUGCUUUUUUAUUGUGGGCAAGCCACCAUGUUAAAGAACACAGGCAGAUGUGGAAACUGGUUUCAUCUGUUUUUUAUCAUCUGUUACGUGGGAGAACUCUUGGUAAAACAGUAAAAACUGUAGAGACACAGGAGAGUGAAAGAGUGUCUUCCCAGAAUGCCCUACAACGACAGUGUGGACGCACUUCUGUAGUUUAGUGAUGCGUGAUGCGGCUGCCUCAGUACAUCAGUCAGAGUGGCGGCGCCUGUAUGCUUAGCUGGCAGAUGGUAACGGGCUUGCUGCUGUCAGAAGAGCCAGUAUUUGAACAUUCAGUGUUUCCUCAAUGUUUGAUGGUGUAUUCAGGUGAUUUUAUGAUUUAAUUCAUUGCUUUAUCUCACAUAUUGGUUAUCUAGGUAUUAAUGUAUGCUUUCAAUCAGAUUAUUAAAAAAAAAAGAAUCGUUAAAUAGAGUCAAAGAUAUUUGAAAUCAUAACAGCUGCUUUCGCUGCUGUGAUGUGUGAACAGACCCCUGGCCUUUGACAGAUUGUGUGUGUCCACUGUUGUGUAAUUAUAGCCUCUCAGUGACCUUGUUAAUGUGAAUUAUGAGAAGGAGGCUUCACAUGCAGCUCAGGGCUCAUGUGUUAGUAAAGGAUCUGAGCUGUCCUUGUCAAGUAAAGUGGGGAGACGUGUGUGUGUGUGUGUGUGUGUGUGUGUGUGUGUGUGUGUGUGUGUGUGUGUGUGUGUGUGUGUGUGUGUGUGUGUGUUCUUGCUGAAAUUGUUGUUUCAUCAAUAAAUAAUGGCAGGCAGAGCUGUGAUGGCCACACAGUUCCUCUGAUCUAUGAUCAAACAGAAAGACUGUCCUGCUCUCAGACUGCAAAUACAGCCAGACACCAAAAAAUCAAACACAUUCACAGACUUGCACACAAACAAAAUGAUUGCAGCCCUUAUGACCCCAAACAACCUCACUCAAUAAAUCCGAUAAUGGGUAGUUUUUGGGUCUCCCCUGCAGAUGUCUGUGCAUGUGUUGUUCACUGUGUCUCUUUCAGGUGAACUCAAAGCUUCUCACGUCCAGCUGGUACAUUUUUGAGCCAAUAUUUCAGCACUCACAAGCCAAGUGCAUACUUGAACCUUUCCUUGUCAGAUGCGAAAUCCUGGCUCUGCUCCUUGCAUCCGGCUCAGUCAGGACAAGUGCCCCAGCACCUCUGGACCUGAAUAUUUUCCUCCUACCUGUCUGAUAUGCAGAGUGUUGCUGCUGAUCUAUUUGCUGCUUCUUUUCAUCUCCUCUUCCCCCCCUCAGGGAACAGAUUCGUCAGGCAGGUGGCUGUCCAGGUUUUAUCUCCAAAUUUUGGUUUCCAGCACUUCUGCCAAUUCUGUUAUACCAGCUUGCGUAACCAUCUGUACUCAUAUCAUACUUUAAAAAAUAUUACAGCAUGAAAGGGUUUAAAGAAGCUGUGCGCUCAGUCUGUGGUCCUGCACAAACUGAAAGUCUGCUGUGGGAAAUCUGCAGGGAGAACUUUGUGUCUAAAGCCUGAUUUUUGUUAUUGAGGCUGCCAUGCCAAGUGCAGUGGGAUAGUGGUCUUCUGUUGUCAUUCAAUAUUCUCCAUCAUGGUCAACUGCUGACUUAUGUUAUUUUACGACAUGCACUAAGUUACAAAACAUGUUCUUAUAUAAUGUACAAACAUUUUUUUGACCUCCAUACUCCCUUAACACUGGGUCAACAUUGCAAAGGUGUUUCACAGUGGAAUUCAACUUUAACUGGAAGAGGGACAAACUGCAGGUGUCUUUUCAAAUGUUAAGGGACUGUUGGGGCGUUAUCAAACAACUGUGAAAGCUGCUAAAAGAACAUUUGUCUGACAUUAUCCUGUCGAACUGUCACAAGCGUUGCAUAUUGUUUAAAACUAUUGACUCUGUUCUGAAUGCCCCACAGUCAGCAUGCAUGGAGGCCUCCCCUGCUGUUUGUGAAAACUUUCUUCACUUCUUUAUCAACAAGGUCUCUUCUACCGGGGCUCUAAUUUCUCCCCCUGCUUAUGACCCCUCAAUCUCUGUCACCUGCUCUGCUGUUUUUAACUAGUUUGAGCCUGUGUCGCUGUCUUCUCUACAGGAGAUUGUUGGUCAUAUGAAGCCCUCUGGUUCCCCUAUUGAUGCUAUUCCUGCUCGGCUUUUUAAAGAGGUUUUCCUUACUUUAGGACCAUAUGUUACUGCAGUUAUUAAUAGCAAUCUGUGCUCAGGUGCGGUCCCCACAAAUUUUAAACAUGCAGUGGUGCAACCACUGAUUAAAAAAACAGGGCUAGAUCCUGCUGUUCUUGCCAAUUUCAGGCCCAUAUCUAAAGUGUCCUUUCCAUCAAAGAUUAUUGAGAAGGUGGUUUACAGUCAAUUAAUGACCUUUUUGGAAGAGCACAGCAUUCUCGAGAUUUUCCAAUCGGGUUUUAAAUCUCUGCACAGUACCGAAUCUGCACUUUUAAGAGUUUUUAACAACAUCUUUUUAGCUACAGACUCCGGUGAUUCUGUGAUUCUUGUGCUUUUAGAAUUAACAGCUGCCUUCGAUACAGUGGACCAUGAGAUCCUAAUUUCUCGCCUGGACCAGUGGGUGGGUAUUAGGGGUGUAGCAUUGGAGUGGUUCAGGUCGUACUUGGCCGACAGAACUUUUUGUGUUAGCUUUGGCGACUCUGUGUCCUCCUCUGCUCCCCUCUUAUGUGGGGUCCCACAGGGCUCAGUGCUUGGACCUCUCCUCUUUUCUCCUUACUUGCUCCCGCUUGGCUCCAUAAUUAGGAAACAUGGCGUACCCCCCCCCCCCCCCCAACGCCAGAUCUUGGUUCCAGAACAUGAAACCAUCCGCUACAAACCUGGGGGUAAAGAUGGACCCUGACCUCAAACUUGACAGCCAGAUCAGUUCGGUCAUUAAAUCAAGUUUCUACCACUUGAGGCAGCUAGCUAAAAUAAAACGAAUUCUCUCUAGGCAGCAAUUUGAGACAGCAAACCACGCCUUUGUUACCACUCGGCUGGAUUGCUGCAAUGCAUUGUAUGUGGGGGUUAGUGCGUCGGCUAUGUCUCGGCUCCAGUUGGUGCAAAACGCUGCAGCACGUCUUUUAACUGGCACUAGAAAACAUGAGCACAUUACCCCCAUUUUAGCUUCACUCCACUGGCUGCCUAUACAUUUUAGGCUUCAUUUUAAAAUUCUUUUAUUUGCUUUUAAAUCCCUCAACAGUCUUGCCCUGCCGUACCUCUCUGAGCUUCUACAUUUUUACACUCCAUCCCGGUCUCUCAGGUCAGCUGAUCAGCUGCUCCUGAGAGAGCCUAAAACAAAGCGGAAACUCAGAGGGGAUCAUGCCGUUGCAGCUUCUAAACUCUGGAAUAACCUGCCUCAGCAUAUCAGACAGGCCUCCUCUCUGUCUGUUUUUAAAUCCCAUCUUAAGACCCACCUCUUCUCGUUGGCUUUUAGCACUUAGUAGAGGGUUGAUUUCAUCAGCCUUUAAGAUUUAAACUUUAAAAAUCAAUGUCUGGUGAAAGAACAAAUCCGAUGUUCUCUAGAGAAAGUAGAAAAUAAUUACGACUUUUGGUCAGUGAUUAGCUACAUAACAUUAGUUAUAUUCAAAGUUUGCAGGUUUCCAUGAGUGUGUUCUUAAGUGUGCCUCCAUCGAACUAGAAGAACAAUGUGCAUAGUUGUUAAACGGAUAACCCCUCACUUUUUGUGAUUUUAUUAAAAAGGUGUUACCUAGGUCUUUUCAUUACUUCUAAAUCAUCUGUCUUUAUUUUAUGGGCUGUGAUGUUCAAAAGCUCUUUAAAAGCAGGAGCUGCAGCUGCCUCUCUCACAAAGCUGUGAAUUCAAUUACUCAUCAGAAGUCUCUCCUCAAGUUUCUCACAACUUUCUCAUUUAGGAAAGUAAGUAUUACACCCAAGGUAAAGCCGCUUAUCUUUGAAUAAUUUAUGUUUGCUUGUUCUAAAAGAGCCAGAUUCACACAACAGCUUCUUAUCUUUGUCUUAGAGCUCUCAUGUCCCAUCAGAACUUGGAUUGCUGUUCAUAAGUCAUAACUAUUUUUUGACAUCAUGAAGAGUGAAUUAAAACUGAAAUUGUGGUGAAAUCUUCCAUGAUGGUGCUCAGGUUAAGAAUAAAAAGAGUAAAUAGUCAUCUCUGUUCAGAUGGCCUCGUCUUCCUUCUUCUUGCUCGACACUUGUACAGUAGCUCUGUUAAAGCUUCAAUUUACAGCUUCAUGGUGCCCUGAUUAACUCUGGUUUAAGCUAAUUUACAUUUAUAUUUAUAUAUUGUUUUAGUUGUUUUAGUUGUUGUUUUUCAUCCACCUCUCUAAAAGUUUGGGCAUCACUGACAAAGUGAACCUGAACUCCAGCUGACAUGUUCUCCUCUGCACUUAACUUCUCUUUCAUGUUUCUCUUCUCAUUUCUCUUUACGCAAAAACAACCUGCAGCAAAGAUGUUUUCGCUCACAUAUCGGUGCGGCUCAGAGAGAGGGUGAUGCUCUUGACCUUUCUGGCUUCUUACACUCUGCUGCUGCUGCUGCUGGGAGCAGAAAAAGGAAAAAUUCAUGCCCGGCCGCUACUGAAGAAUUAAACAGUUUUUUUUUUUCUUUUCCUUAUUAUUAUUAUUAGCAUUAUAUGGGUAAAUGCAGAUACAGGCAAGACUGUAGGGUGAAUAAAAUACGUUCCUCUCUUGACCUUAAACUCAUCAUUUUCAAUCAGUGUUAAACCAAAAACUGUGUUUCAAUGAUUUGAAAACUUCUAAUCCUUGGGCUACAGAACAAUAGCUCAAAAGUAUGCUGAAACACUGAUCAAUCCUCUGUUUUGAAAAAACUCCUCAGCUCCUGGGUUAAUCAGAUCCUGGAGAGGAAAGCACCUCAGUCCAGCUGCAGCUGCUCUGCACUGGCUUCAGAUAACCUUGAGAGCUGCUCUAAUCACCCUUCCCAAAGUCGUUCAUUAGCGAGGACCAAAGUUACACCCAUGCUCCCAUGUUGACUAGCUGCCUCUGAGAAAACUGCAGUCAUCUGUUUACUGGUUUACUAAAGUUCCCAGUAGCAGCUGCUCUCCUCUCAUUGAUUUUUUUCAGCUCUUACUCCUUUUGUUUCAUUUUGCUCAAGUCUGCAAACCAAAGUCAGACUCUGAUAACUUAUUUUCUUCAUGCAGUGGCUUUGGUAAGAACAACGAAGUGAACAGCUGCGGUAACAUUUAGGUAUCCUGCCCUCACAUAAGGCUGCAUCUCUGUGGGAUUAUUCCUGUGAUAUAAUGGGCUGUUUUAAUGACCUAUUAUAAGUGACCAAAACAGGCCUAUUUGAGUGAAUUUGCUUUAACUGUACUGCAGUUUUAUGUGACUCUCAAAUAGAUGAAACAAUAAACAAGAACAUUCCCAACACUUUUGCAUCGAUAAGUCAUUUAGGUUACAGAAAAAAGGGCCCAGGUUUCAAGACACCUGAAAGCCUCCCCAUGCGCCAACUCCCUCUUAUGACUACAAUGUAAUGAUUUAGAAAUAGGUUUUUAAAAAAGGCUUUGUCUCUAGGGUUGUUCCCGAUUUAAUUCACCCAAAAAAACAAACAAAAAAAAAAGCAAAUUUAUUAUAGUUAGUUCUUAUAGUUACACUAUAUAACCAAAUUCCCCCUCAGGUAUAAAUAAAGUUAUUCUUAUCUUAUUUGCACAGAAUUAGUUGAAUGUCCUUCUGAAAUCAACGUUGUAGCUUGAUUACACAGUCUAAUUUACUGGAGUUUGCCAAAGGUUCUUGUUAUAAAUACUGAGGCACUGCAUGAUAGCCACCUUGAUAAUCGAUAAAAUGUAGUAGACAUAUACAUCACCCCCCCCCCAAAAAAAAAAAAAAAAAAUAGUGAACAGCUUUGUUUUCCACAAAGUUCAUAAGCGUAAAACACAGUAAAACAGUUUGUUCUGAGCUUGUAUUGUGAAUAUUUGAUGUCAAAUGCAGAGAAAUACUGUCUUUUUCAACACACUGUCAAAUAUCUUACCUAAAAGUGACCUCCUCACAGCAGUUUUAGGCAUUCAAAGUUUUAAUCUUGCUGCUGAUGAUCUUUUGUAUGAUCUUUGUGGGUCAUAGAGAGGCAUCAGUAUAAGUGAUGGGAAGAACAGUUCUUUUGACUGUACUGAAUCUUUAGAAUCCAUUGAUUAAAAGGAUUCAUAUGUUCAAAAGUCCACUGAAUCAGUCAGUGCUUCAGAGCCCCGUCCUGCCGGUGCAGUACACGAGUAAGUGACACAGCGGCAAGUUCAUUUGUUAAACCUCUGUGUAUCGCUGUUGGCGAAAACAACACAGCAGCAAGCAGCACGCCCACUAAACAAGCGGGAGUUGUCGUUCUUUUGUAUCGCAGAAAAGUGAAGAGACUAAAGAUAAAUAAACAUCGCAGCUGUAGCGGGGAUUCUGCUAUGUUUAAAGAUAUCAGAUAGUGUAUUGCUUUAAAUCGACUGGAAUUAAAUCCUUCAUGCAGGAAAGUUUAUAAAUGUGUGUUAAUGUAAAGGCACUAUAAUGCACUGUUUUAUCUUAGCCUCAGUGAAUAAAACGGUGUGCAGCAGUAAGUGAACGACACUACACCCCUCCCUCCUCUGCCUGAAUAAAGUCAUUCAGAAGUAGUUCAUUUUGUUCACCAUGCCGUUCACUGACUGACGUUUCGUUGACUGACUGUUUGGUUCACACACUGAUACAUGUCGUUCGCAGACUGUUUCGUUCACUGACUGAUACAUAUCGUUCACAGACUGUUUCGUUCAACUGUUGCUGUUUAAACUGUUGACUGUUUAGUUCACUGACUGAUAAAGGUCGUUCACAGACUGUUUCAUUCACUGACUGAUACAUAUCGUUCAUUCGCUGUGAGUGAAUCACGAGACUCCGUUCACCAAAGAGUCAAUGGUGGCAGUUCUACUCCAGACUGGCAUGCCAGGCUCACGGCUGAGCUCAACUGAACUGAAAAAGGAACAAAUCAGGUCUGGGAGUGAUUCAGUUCACGUUGUUCACUCAGCAGUUCCAUAAUUUUGAACGAAAUGUUCAUGAAUGACACAACACUAAUCAGUAUGUCAUCUAUUACAUGGUGUUGCAACAACUGGAUAUAUGUGGAUAUGUGGCUUACAAUGUCCAACACAGCCUUCAUCAUAUUUACCUCAGAAGGAGCAGGAACAGCAGCAGACAUCUAUAGAAUGGAUCAUUACUAGUGACCUGAAAAUUGUCUGUGAUCUACCCUGGAUUUAUGACAUUUUAGUUUACAGACAUGCUUGAUGUGGACAGGAUUAACAGGACAAAGACAGUUGUCUUUCAUGAUUGGUUUAUCUUAUCAGAGGUCCUUCGUUAAUACUUCUGUGCGGGUGAAACUAAAGACAAGUAUUUAUGUUACGUAAAAACACACAGAAAACUACAGUGCUCAGGAGUUAAAAAAAUAAUGACUUUCCUGUCUCAUCACUGUGGUAAACACAUUGGGACUUUUCUUCAGUCCGUCUUGGGAAUUCACUAAAUAAUGCUGGUGGGUAGGUCUAAUAUUCACCAGUUCAGUGUGGUGGUAUUCAAAUCUAGGACUAUGUUUCAAGUCUGACUUAAAACCUGAUUUCCAGGUCUUAUUGUGGUGAGACGCCUCCUCAUCCUGUUUUAUUUUGGCCGGACUUCCUGUUUUUCCCUGUUUGCCUGGUCUGGCUGUACUCUUUUUCCAGAGCUUCCUCCCCUCCCCCGGCGCUGAGGCUGAGUGAGACGACACACCUGCUCCUCAUCUCCAAUUAAGGGACUUUAAGAAGCCUGCAGCCCUCAGUCUCAGCGCCUGAGUAUUGUCUACCCUUCCUAGCGGUACAGACGCGUCUCCUGGCCUUCCUCGUGGUAUAACUUUGAGAACUUUGCUCCUAGUGACUCUUUUUCAUGUUCUCUAACUCCUGUCUCCUCUGGUUUCUCCUGCAGUGUCUCCAGCCCACACAACAGCCAGCCAACCAGCCAACCACCCGGACUUCCUUUGUUUCCUUAGCUAUCCCUUUCUGUUUUGGACAUUAAAUUCGCUUUACGUUGAUCCCUGUCUCAGUGUCUGCUUCUGGGUCCUCACUACGAGCUUGCCUCACAACAGAAUACUCAGGCCAGGAAAAUGGACCCAGCAGACCUAGACAGAGUUCAGCUAGCCGUCCAGAAGCUCGGCACGCGGCUUGGCCAACAUGAGGACAUGCUCCAGAGUCUCUACCAGUCAUUUCAUGGCCUCUCCGUUCAAAUGUCGCAGCUGGCUGAGCAACUACUCCCUCGGCCUCCACCGCAGCAAACAGGAUCUCCCCCCUCUGUGAGUACGUUCCCCUCUUCGCCUCCUCCACCACCCACUAUCCUCAAAGAGCCCUAUGUCCCUCCUCCUGAGCCGUAUGCUGGGGAGAUUGGGGGCUGCAGAGGUUUCCUACUCCGAUGCGCCUUAGUGUUUGACCAACAGCCCAUUAGUUACCCCUCAGAUCGAGCUAAGAUCGCCUACACCAUCAAUUUGUUAAGAGGUAGGGCCGCUAAGUCGGCUACGGCCGUCUGGGAUAGGGACUCACCUCUGUUCGCCUCUUACGCCCGUUUUUCAGAAGAGCUCCGUAGAAUAUUUGAUUUUCCAGUCGAGGGCCCCGAGUGCACAAAACGGUUGUUUUCCCUCACCCAGAGCUCUCGGUCAGUGGCGGCCGAGAGUGGGUGGGGGGAACUCGAGUUAAAAGAGGCAUUCACUCGGGGUCUCUCAGAACAAUUGAAAGACGAGCUAGCGGCUCGAGAUGAGCCUUCCUCCCUUGAGGAGCUAAUAGCGUUCGCUAUUCGUAUAGAUAAUCGCCUCAGGGAGAGACGGAGGGUGAAGGAAAUCCAUUCCCUGGUCCCUAAAAUAGACUCCCCUUCCUCUGUUGCAGUCAGCGGGUCUCCUCUGCAGCCCUCAGCUCCUCUGGCUCCGACACCCUCCACUGGAGAACCCAUGCAAAUCAGCCACACCUCCUCUACCUCCAGCUCCCCCAGGCGUAUCACAGUCCCUGCCUGUCUCCUUUGGGGAAAGGAAUCCACUUCCCUCCAAACCCUCAUUGACUCUGGGGCGGACGAUAACUUCAUUCACACCGGACUGGCAGCGCGGCUUCAGCUCCCCCUGGAGGAACUCCCGGUUCCCCGUAAGGUCACCGCUCUCGAUGGCAGAGUAAUAGCCUCCAUUACACACCGCACUGCUCCCCUCACCCUCAUCCUCUCCGGUAACCAUCGGGAGGACAUCCGGCUGUUCCUGCUUCCCUCUCCUCACUCUCCCCUGGUACUGGGACUCCCUUGGCUGCAAAUCCACAACCCUCAGAUUAACUGGUCCACAUCUUCAAUCUCCGCCUGGAGCCCUCACUGUCACUCCCACUGCCUCCGCUCCGCCAAUCCCUACAUCCACCGACAGAGGUCAGCAUCUCCACCGCCAUCUCUCACCUCGGUUCCCCCCGUUUACCAUGACCUGGCAAUGGUGUUCAGUAAGGAGCAGUCUCUUGUCCUUCCUCCUCAUCGCCCCUAUGACUGCGCCAUAGACCUGCUCCCUGGCGCACCUCUUCCCAGUAGUAGACUAUACAACCUCUCUCGGCCCGAACGAGAGGCCAUGGAGGAAUAUAUUCAAGACUCCCUGACCUCUGGACUCAUCCGACCCUCAUCUUCUCCCCUUGCUGCUGGCUUCUUCUUCGUGAAGAAAAAAGAUUCCUCUCUCCGUCCCUGCAUUGACUUCCGUGGAUUAAAUGACAUCACCAUUAAAAACAAAUAUCCCCUGCCACUCAUUGAUCCCUCCUUCGAACCUCUCUGUCAAGCCACCAUCUUCUCAAAACUGGACCUCCGGAAUGCCUAUCACCUGGUUCGCAUCCGGGAGGGGGAUGAGUGUAAGACUGCCUUUAACACACCCAUGGGCCACUUCGAAUACCUGGUUAUGCCCUUUGGCCUCACCAACGCCCCUGCUGUGUUCCAGACCCUCAUUAAUGAUGUCCUCCGUGACAUGAUUACCAAGUUCGCCUUUGUCUACUUGGACGAUAUCCUGAUCUUCUCCCGAAACCUGGAGGAACACCAGCAGCACGUCCGACUCGUCCUUCAGCGCCUCCUCGAAAACCGCCUUUUCGUGAAGCCCGAAAAGUGCGAGUUCCACGCCUCCUCCGUCAGUUUCCUUGGCUACAUCAUCGCCCAGGGGGAGCUACGCCCAGACCCAGAAAAAAUCCGUGCUGUCCGUGACUGGCCCACUCCCUCCUCCCGCAAAGACCUCCAGCGAUUCCUCGGCUUCGCUAAUUUCUAUCGACGGUUCAUUAAGAACUACAGUAAGGUAGCAGUUCCCCUCACCCGGCUCACAUCCCUCAAGGUUCCAUUCUCCUGGACCCCCGAAGCAGACGCCACCUUCCAUCAUCUCAAAUCCCUCUUCAUCUCCGCCCCGGUGCUCAAACACCCAGAUCCCUCACUUCAGUUCGUGGUGGAGGUCGACGCUUCGGACUCUGGAGUAGGGGCCGUCCUCUCACAGAGGGACUCUCAGACCCAGAAGCUUCAUCCUUGCGCCUUUUUCUCCCGGAAACUCUCAGCCACGGAACAAAAUUAUGACGUGGGAAACCGUGAAUUACUGGCUGUCGUGUGGACACUGCAAGAAUGGAGACACUGGCUGGAAGGAGCUUCCCAACCGUUUCUAAUCUGGACAGACCACAAGAACCUGCAAUACCUCCGCUCCGCUCGUCGCCUCAACCCAAGGCAAGCCCGCUGGUCCCUUUUUUCCUCAGCAGAUUCAAUUUCACCCUCUCCUAUCGUCCCGGCUCCCGCAACCUCAAACCAGACGCCCUCUCUCGGAUCCACGCCUCGGAUACCCCGGACCCCAGUGAACCAGACACCAUCCUCCCCGCCUCCUGUGUCGUUGGCUCCGCCACCUGGGAGAUCGAUACCAUCGUGGACCAGGCCCUCCGGAACCACCCAGACCCCGGAACCGGCCCGCCGGACAGAAAGUUCGUCCCUGAGGUCGCACGUUCUCAGGUCCUACAGUGGGGGCACUCCUCCAAGCUCACCUGCCACCCCGGGUUUCAACGCACCCUCCAAUUCCUCCAGCAGCGGUUCUGGUGGCCGGGGAUGGUCCGGGACGUACGGGCGUUUGUUGCUGCCUGCUCCGUCUGUGCCCGAAGCAAAGCCUCCCACCAACCUCCGGCUGGCUUGCUGCGUCCUCUGCCUGUGCCUUCACGCCCCUGGUCCCACAUAGCCAGUUUUCCUCUCAGGUCUGGAGAGCUUUCUGCCAGGCAGUGGGCGCAGCAGCUAGCCUCUCCUUGGGUUACCACCCACAGACCAAUGGCCAGAUGGAGCGGGCUAAUCAGAACCUCGAGUCGGCCCUGCGGUGUGUGGCGGCCCAUCAUCCAGCGUCCUGGAGUACGCACCUCCCGUGGAUCCAAUACGCCCAUAACUCCCUCACCUCUUCAGCCACAGGUAUGUCCCCUUUCAUGUGCUGUUUUGGGUACCAGCCCCCCCUGUUUCCCGAACAGGAGCAACCUGUGGCCGUCCCGUCGGUGAGGGAGCACAUUGGGCGUCUACGGGAGGUGUGGAGAUCGGCCAGGGCCGCACUCACCCGCACGGCCGAGCGCAACAAACGCCUGGCUGACGUUCACCGCUCUUCAGCACCAGACUAUCGUCCUGGUCAGAUGGUCUGGUUAUCGUCUCGUGACCUCUCCCUGCAGACUGAGUCCCGCAAGUUGUCCCCCCGCUUCAUUGGUCCCUUCCCUAUCCAGAAAAUCAUCAACCCUUCAGCGGUGAGAUUAAAACUUCCCUCAUCUCUCAAAAUUCAUCCCACAUUCCAUGUCUCCUUGUUAAAACCUGUUGCCUCGUGCACCCUGAGCCCUCCUUCCGUCGCCCCUCCACCCCCCCGAUUGAUUGAUGACCACCCUGCCUUCACUGUAAGGAAAAUCCUGGACGUGCGGCCUUGGGGGCGAGGCUUCCAAUACCUCAUGGACUGGGAGGGUUACGGUCCAGAGGAACGUUCCUGGAUCUCCCGCUCUCUCAUCCUGAAACGCCAACUCCUGGAAGAGUUCUACGCUGCCCACCCCAACAAGCCCGGCAGAACGCCAAGAGGCGUUCGUUAAGGGGGGGGGUACUGUGGUGAGACGCCUCCUCAUCCUGUUUUAUUUUGGCCGGACUUCCUGUUUUUCCCUGUUUGCCUGGUCUGGCUGUACUCUUUUCCAGAGCUUCCUCCCCUCCCCCGGCGCUGAGGCUGAGUGAGACGACACACCUGCUCCUCAUCUCCAAUUAAGGGACUUUAAGAAGCCUGCAGCCCUCAGUCUCAGCGCCUGAGUAUUGUCUACCCUUCCUAGCGGUACAGACGCGUCUCCUGGCCUUCCUCGUGGUAUAACUUUGAGAACUUUGCUCCUAGUGACUCUUUUUCAUGUUCUCUAACUCCUGUCUCCUCUGGUUUCUCCUGCAGUGUCUCCAGCCCACACGACAGCCAGCCAACCAGCCAACCACCCGGACUUCCUUUGUUUCCUUAGCCAUCCCUUUCUGUUUUGGACAUUAAAUUCGCUUUACGUUGAUCCCUGUCUCAGUGUCUGCUUCUGGGUCCUCACUACGAGCCUGCCUCACAACACUUAUGACUCAACUUGGAAGUUAUUCAGUGAGAUGUGCUGUUUGUUAAAAAGUGUGAGCUCCUUCUUCUCUUGGAUUCCUCUGGACUGUUAGCCGCAUCAUCUAUGAUUGUCCACCUCAAGCCCUGAGCUCCUUCUUCUCUUGGAUUCCUCUGGACUGUUACUGUUACUGCAGACACGUUAAUCAGCCUCACUGACAUUAUUGAUAUUAAUAACAUAAAAUAGAACUGACUACGAUUAAGCCUGCUAACUGUAAUCACACUCAAUUAAUUCAACAUUGUUUAUAAUCACUCAUAUCCUAACCCUGUAAACUGAACUCCUUUUUGUUUCCCCAUUACAUGAGCUGUUGUUGUUGUUGCUGUUGUUUCUGCUGCCCCCUGUCUCUCUCUCACCCUCCCUCUCCUUACUCAUUCUCUCUCGCCUUCCCCUAUCUUGUUCUCUCUCUCCCUCCCCCUGUCCUCUCCCCCUCUCCCCUCUUCUCUCUACAUCGCUCCCCAACCCAGCAGCGGCAUGGUGGCUGUCUAACAUGAGGCUGGUCCUGCCCAAGGUUUCUGCCUGUUAAAAGGAAGUUUUUCCUUGCCACUGCUACUCAUGUUAGUUGAGAUGGGCCAAAACCCAUCUUAGGUUGGUUCUUGAUCAUCAAACAAUGAGCGUGGUCCAGACCUGCUCUUGUUCCUUGAAAAGCGUCUUGAGAUGACGACUGUUGUGAAUUGGCGCUAUAUAAAUAAAAUUUGAUUGAUUGAUUGUUAAUGUCGGAUAAAAGAUCUUUGGAACACAAAUACUUAAAGGAUAACUUUUAUACCCAUGUUCACCUUUCAUUUGGUUAGUUUCAGACACCUACAGAGUAGUUUUGCAUAAUUUCCAUCUUAAACACUCUUCAGUCUUCUUACACUGGCGUUUGUGUACAUCCUCCUGUCAGCUUUGUUCUGCCUCUAUCUGAAAUGCUUCAUUUUGGUUGCUUUUCUACUUAUAGACAAAGUUUUGUGGGUGUUACUUUUCAUACAGCAUGAAACAUCGUGAAAGUCACGUCUUUACAGUGAACAUCUGAGCCUAGCAAUUAUCCACUCAACCCCCUCUUUUGGCAUAUGUUAGCUAUUAUUAGCCAUUGUUGCAUUAGCUGCUGCCUUAAUGUUCCAUCUAGCUUCUGGUUUUUCAUAGUGAUCUUUGAAGAUGAACAGCUCCAGGUGUCAGUACCAGCUCAGACUCAUAUCCAGCUCGUACUGGCCUUUGUGAAGCGAGCUCAAACAGAUAAGUUGUGGCUGUUCUUAAAACUUCAGGGAACCCUUCUGUUUUCUGCAGGAGACUUUCCUUUACAACCUAAAGUCUUCCGAUAAGCAAUAUUUAGAAAAAAUAUGAAAUCAGGGCUGUGCAGAGCAGAGCAAACGGACAAGUGAUGAAGCUGACUUCCUCUGUGUGGGCUUAAGGCUAAAACAUACAGGUUGCGUAUUUGGAGUGUGGCAGCACUCCAAAUGCGACAAGUCUAUUUUUUGCUGCUCUACGCUUUCAAUGUGUGUCAAUCUACACAGAGAAGAUCAUUCCACACAGAAAGUCAAGCAUGAAAACCACUCAUGUCAUCUGAUAUUUCAAAAUAAAACACCAUAUUCGGACUCCCGACUGUGAAUCCGUUUUUGUAGAUAAGAAAUCCUUCCUGGUUCUGGAUUUAUCAGUAACACAGAACAAUCCGAUGGUCAAUCGCUGAUCCAUGUAGACCCCAACAGGACAUUGAACUGCUAACUCUGUCUGAAAGUAACAGCACAGCAUAAAGGAACAUAGUUUACUUUAUUAAACACGUGUAAACCUGCAAAGAAUGAAACUGUAAAAUCACAUUGCUUUUUCACAUAUAGUAGAGCAGGUGUGUCCAAACUAUGGCCUGCGGGCCAACUGCGGCCCGUGGUCUAUUUUUAAUUGGCCUGCAGCAAAUUCUAAAUAUAUAAUGGAAUAUGGCCCACACGUGGAACUUGACUUUAAUGUACUUCCUUUUUUGACACUAGGGGGAAAAAAAUUCUGCGGGUGACCAGAAAUGGCAGAAUCAAAUAAACACAAGAUAGCAAGUGAGUGUAGAAAAUUUCAGACACGGUGGGAAAAUGAGUAUUUCUUCACAGAAGUCAAGGGGAAGUGUGUCUGUUUGAUUUGCAAUGAAACAGUUGCAGUGAUGAAAGAAUAUAAUGUACGGUGACAUUAUGAAACCAAACAUCAGACCUACAUGUCCUGCACUGGUGCCGAGCGUUAACAGAAAGUUAAACAAAUGACAGCUGGCCUGCAAGCUCAACAGCAGUAUUUUUCCGUGCUAAUAAAACACAAGAAAAUGCCACAAUAGCCAGCUACGAGGUAGCUCAGCUCAUUGACGGACACAAGAAACCUUUCUCAGAUGGUGACUUCAGAAAACAGUGCCUCACUAAAGCCGCAGGAAUAAUGUGCCCAGAAAAAAUGCAGUUCAAUAACAUCAGCAUGUGCAGAAACAUAGUUGCGCGGUGAAUCGAAGACGUGUCAGAUAAAGCUUGUGCUUUUGAUUUUUACUCCAUUGCAUGUGACGAGAGCACAGAUGUCACAGACACCACACAGCUGUUAAUUUUUUUGCGGGGAGUUGACAAUAACUUUUGUACCACAGAGGAGCUUCUUGAUCUUAGGAGUCUAAAGGGCACAACAACGGGUAAGGACAUUUUUGAAGCUGUGUCAGAUGCAAUUGACAUGAUGGGACUUAAAUGGGACAAGCUGUGUCGAGUUACAAUGGAUGGGGCUCCAGCUAUGGCAGGGGAGCGCAAAGGAAUGGCAUCUAUGGUAUGCACCAAGGUGCAAGAAAGUGGCGGUGAGGCUGUUCAGAUGCACUGCAUCAUCCAUCAAGAAGCCCUCUGUGCCAAGACAGUCCAGCUUGGCGAUGUGAUUUACACUGUGGUGAAAACAUAAUUCGAGCACGAGGGCUCUACCACAGACAAUUUCAAGCUUUCCUCUCUGAUGUUGAUGCUGAAUACAGGGACAUCAUUCAGAUGUGUGUUGGCUGAGUUGCGGCUCUGUGCUGCAGGGUUCUAUUCCCUGUGAUCAGAAAUUGACCAGUUUUUAAGAAAGAAAGAAAGGAUCGACCUCUGGUUGGCAGACCUGGUAUUCUUAGUUGAUCUCACUGAUCAUCUUAACACACUGAACAAGAGCCUACAAGGCAAAGACCAGCUUGUACCACAACUUUAUGCGCACAUAAAAGCAUUCUGUGUGAAGCUCCGUCUCUUUGUGACACAACUACGCAACUUUAAUGUUGCGCACUUCCCCAUGCUGUCCGAAAUCAAAUGCGCUUUUCCAGAGGCCAACCUUACUGCUAAAAAUGAGAAGUAUGUGUCUGUGAUCUCAUCUCUCAUAACAGAAUUCCGUCAGCGCUUCCAAGAUUUUUCUUCCAUUGAGAAAGAAAUCAAGCUGUUCUUAACUCCAUUCCUGAUGGAUGCAGAAGAAGUGGAAGAGAGUUUGCAAUUAGAACUCAUCGAAAUUCAGUGUGAUGAUUCUCUGAAGAAUCAACAUCAGCUUCUCUCCCUACCCGACUUCUACCGGAGCUUGGAAAAUACAAAGUUUCCGCUGAUGAGAUGGCAUGCAAAGAGAAUGAUGAAUCUGUUCGGCUCAGCAUACAUAUGUGAGCAAACAUUUUCUCUGUUAAAUCUGAACAAAAGCAGACUGAGAAGCAAAAUGACCAACAGCCAUCUCUGUGAUGUCCUUCGCAUCUCAACCACCAAACUUGCUCCUUAUAGUGGAGCAGACAAAUGCAUAAUAUAGCCCGAAUCGUUCACUUUGUUAUACAAGCAUGAAAUUUGGUACAAAUACUCUUCAAACCCCACUCUUUUCAAAAAUAACGUUAGCCACACAAAAUUCCAAGAUGGCAGCCCCAAAAUCCAAGAUAUCCGCCCCAAAAAUGUGUUUUUUCCUUUAUAACUCAAAAUGACUUGAUUUUAAGCCCCAUACAUAUAUUGAAGUUGAAUAUAAAGUUGGGUAUUGCGGACAUUUUGGUACCUAGUACAUUUCUGUAUCCAUUACGGUUCUUGAGAUACAGCCUAUUGAUACUUGUACAGAGAGUGAGAAAUUUGUAACACUGAUUGUUGUUACGUGCAUAUGGUUAUAUGAAAAUAUCAUUUCCAUUAUCUGUUAUUUUCAUUAGGGUUAUAACAUUAAAUUUGAAAAACAAGAUGGUGUCCAAGAUGGCUUUCAUUGCCUUGAAGUAAUCCGAUCUUAGUGACUAUGAAACAUUAACUUUUGGCAUGCACAUAUUUUUGGUCUAUGCAUCCAAUGGGGCCAUUGCAGUACAGAAUUUAGAUGUUUAUACAGUACAAGCUUGCAGAUAUAAUAGAGUGAACAUCGGCACACAACCAGGGCACACUGGUGAUUUCACUGCUGUGUAACUGUGUGACAAAAAAAUUUCCCCCAUGGGGGAUCAAUAAAGGAAUAUUCUAUUCUAUUCUAUUCUAUUCUAACUCAGCAUGACCUCCAGGAGUUCUUUAAGCAUGAGAACCAGUCCUUCCCUGUUGCAUUGAGCAAGGGUGGAAAAUUGUACACUUGCCAGAAGUCUCAGCUGACCCCUAUCCUUGAGAAUUAUGUCCCACCAGUUGACAAGGAACCUGAGGCAGACGUUCUCAUUGCAGAUGGGUCAGCUUUGGACCACGCCCUGCCACCAAAAUGAUCCAAGACUUUGAGGACUAUGCAGCUCUCGACUUCCUACCUGUGAUCUACAUGUACUCCAGCAAGUACACAAUGAUACAUCUGGUCUUUGAUGUGUAAAACCCAUCAAGCCUUAAAGCUGAGACCAGGUCCAAAUGUGGCCAGGGGGGGAGACGCAAGGUAACGAAUAAGAACACCAUGCUAUCUAACUGGCAUAACUUCCUGAGGCACAAUGACAACAAAACAGAGUUGUCCCACCCUUGCCGACAAGGUUGCACAAAUGUUUGCCCUAAAUACCAUCAUCGUCACAAAGUGACCUGCUGUCCUCAGCACUCGUGCAACUGGUCUUGAUGGACUGGAUAAAUGCUCUCACAAGGAAGCGGACAGCCACAUCUUUGUGCUCACCAAACAUGCAACUGGUAGCCAAUCCAUCAUGAUCAAGGCAAAUGACACAGAUGUUCUGAUCUUAGCAAUAAGUGUAUUCAGCGGUCUCCAAGAGGCUGGCCUACAGCAUAUGUGACUUGCAUUUGGGUUAGGUCAGACUCUGCGCUGGAUCAGUGUGCAUGACAUAUUUCAGCAUGUUGGCCAGGAGAAGGUCAAAGGCAUGCUCUUCUUCCAUGCCUUUACAGGAUGUGACACUGUGUCUGCCUUCCGCAACAAAGGCAAGAAAACAGCUUGGCAGACAUGGGACAUAUGUCCAGAAUCCUUGCCUGUAUUCGCCAAACUGGGUAUUUACCCUUCCACAGUGGAGGACUGCGACAUAGAGGUGCUUGAGAAGUUUGUCAUUCUCAUGUAUGACAGAACCAGCACAGCUGCUACUGUGGAUGAGGCCAGGCUUGACUUGUUUGCCAGAAAGCAGAGGCCCUAUGAGUCUAUCCCACCAACCAGAGCAGCUCUACUCCAACACAUCAGGCCUGCUGCCUAUCAGGCUGGUUGUGUGUGGGCCCAGGCAACCCAGUGUCAGUGUCACCCAGUGAAGCAGAGGACCCUGCAGACUGGGGAUGUCAAAAGGUUGGUGAGGAAUGGCAGGUCUUCUGGACAGCCAACUCUCCAAUAGCCAAGACAUGCGAACAGCUCACCAAAUGUGGCUGUAAAUCUGGCUGUUGUGGCAGGUGCAAGUGCUACAAAUUGGGUCUCAUGUGUACAGCUCUGUGCAGUUGCACUUUACUUUUACUCGAGUAACGUAUUGACUAGGCUACUCUUACUUGUAGUGGAGUAAAUUUUGACCAGGAGUAUUUUUACUCUUACUCAAGUACUGGGGUCAAGUACUCUGUCCAUCUCUGUGUAGGGGACACAGCAAACAUGUGGAAGAAGGUGCUCUGGUCAGAUGAGACCAAAGUCAAACUUUUUGGCCUGAAUGCAAAGCGCUAUGUAUGGUGGAAAAGUAACACUGCUCAUCACCCUGAACACACCAUCCCCACUGUGAAACAUGGUGGUGGCAGCCUCAUGCUGUGGGGAUGCUUUCUUCAGCAGGGACAGGGAAGCUGGUCCGAGUUGAUGGGAGGAUGGAUGGAGCUAAGAAGAAAACCUGUUGGAGGCUGCAAAAGACUUGAGACUAGGAAAGAGAUUCACCUUCCAGCAAGACAAUGACCCUAAACAUACAGCCAGAGCUACAAUGGAAUGGUUUAGAUAAGAAAAUAUUCAUGUGAUAGAAUGGCCAAGUCAAAGUCCAGACCUAAAUCCCAUUGAGCAUCUGAGGCAAGAUUUGAAAAUUGCUGUUCACAGACGCUCUCCAUCCAAUCUGGCUGAGCUUGAGCUAUUUUGCAAAGAAGAAUGGGCAAAAAUUUCAGUCUCUAGAUGUGCAAAGCUGGUAGAGUUAUACCCCAGAAGACUUGCAGCUGUAAUUGCAGCGAAAGGUGGCUCUACAAAGUAUUGACACAAGGAGGCUAAAUACAAAUGCACACCACACUUUUCAGAUUUUUAUUUGUUUAAAUUUUUGAAAAACAUAUAUAAUUAUUGUUCCACUUUACAAUUAUGUGCUACUUUGUGUCGGUCUAUGACAAAAAAAAAAAGUUUGUGGUUGUAGAGUAACAAAAUGUGAAAAAGUUCAAGGGGUAUGAAUACUUUUUCAGGGCACUGUAUAUCCAAAUUAGCAGGAAAUAGACCACAGAAAGGCAAAACAACCUGUUUUGAGCAUGUUAUUUCUUCUAUACUGAGUCCAGCUGACCAGGGCUGCACUAUGAUGCUACCACGCUCGAAGUACGCGUCCUGUGUGCAAUACCCGGUGCAGCUCUACAGAGCAAAUACGAAACGCGCUAAAUAUGAAUCCUGUAUGUUUUCAGCUUUACUCUUUAGCAUUGCCCUAAUAGGACAAGGCAGCUGUGACUCAAUAGUAGAGUCUGUCUGAAAGUCAGGAGGUGAAUGUGUUACAAUUCUGAUUAGCUCAAUAAAACUCCUUUAACUUACAGAGGAUAAACUUGCAAAAUAAAAAGGCAGUAACAAAAGGCAGAGCUGUUCCCCACAAGCCCUUUAAUAACGCUAUCAUGUUAGCACUGAUUGUGAAUACACAUGGUGUCCUAGGGUUCCUCUUCAUUUAACACAUCUACCUUCCUCUUCUAUUAAGCAUAAAGAAAAAAAAAAUCUAUACAACUUUAACUUGUGCUCAUCACUACAGCAGGGCACACAUGCUGCUAUUAUUGAUGUGGAACACCCCUAAGUCUCAAUGCCUACGUAAGAAAAAGUAGAUACACUCAAUAAAUGUUAAUUUAUUUAAAUUUGGUGCCACUGUAGAGUUUUGUAUUCCUCCCUAUGAGGCAUAUUUUAAAACCAGCACAGAGAGAGAUCAAUGCAUCUUCCCACGGGUAACUGCAGAGGAACAGAGCUUGCAGGUGGAUUCUGAGUUGGAGGUGAAGGUGGGGCGUGAUCUGCAUAGGCAGCAUAUCAGACCCUAGGCGGGCUGUAGGAGCUGCAGAAAUAGGCAGCAGGGCUGACUGAUGAUGUCAUAUCUGUCAGCAUUUAGUGAACAGGUACAGAUAUUCCCCACCUCCACACAUCAGUUUCAACACCACAAGAGGCAAAACUUUGUGCAAGAACUUUCCACAAACCAGGAUGGAUACAGGGAGCUUUCACUGCAGGUAGAACAGCUGCAAAACAACAGCCUGACAGAAAAAAAAAAAAAAAGGUUACUCAAACACAGCCUUGCAAAUAAUCAUCCGAAUUUAUAUACAGCUUCAUCACAUACAGAGACAUAUACAGCCGACAGGACUCAUAGCUGCACAGCUCUGCUGUAUGAUGCUGCAGCAUCCUCUUCCUCUCAUUUUCUGGUGUAAAUGAGUGACAGAUGUCCUAGCCUCUUUGGUUUGGUGAUAAAAUUCAUUCAGCUUCGACAACAUUGAGUACCGAUCAAAGACAUAACUAUAAUGUCAUGGAAAAAGAGUGAUAAACAUAUCAUUUCAAUCUUUCAUGAUGUCAGUCUGGGGCAGCUAUAGAAGAGCUCUAUUCAGCCUCAGCCUUCUUUCUGCUGCUUUCCCACUGAUUCAAAGCUUAAAGGACAUUGCUUUUUGCACUGCUUUGUGGUUAUGAAAGUCCAAAGGUUAUCCUUUUACAGACAAUACCAUUAGUUUCCACUUAGCCUACACAAGCUGCUAUCACAGCAUUGUUUAAACAGUUCUCAGUGGUCUUGAAAUUGUGAUUAUGAAGUUUUUAGCCAAAACCAGGUUACCUGUGUCAUUUUUAAGGGCUUUUCUUCUGCAGAGUUUCAGUAGCUCAUUAGCAAUUCGCCUCUGAGUCUUGGGCGGAGAUGGCGCUGCUCUGCACACUCUGCUUCACGCUAGCUUGCAGCUACCGCACAUUCUUGAUCCGCAGUUGUCCUCUUUAUUUCUCAGAGUCUCGCCUGCAUAGCGUGGCUCCAGAGACGGAACUUUAAAUUGUGAAGUAGAAAAUCCCACUGUGUCUGAGCCUACUGUUUGGGUCUGUUAGAGGUUCACAGAGAUUUGAAUGCAGAAAUACUCAGAAAUGUAAUUUCACACUUACUUUUCUAUGUCCUGUAGCAUCAGGAAAUGCCAUAUGAACAGGUAGACAACAAGAAAAACAUGAUUUUCAUUGGAGUGGGUCUUUAAUGUUUACAGAAGGUGAAACAGCUCAAGGUCUCAGUGACUGUUGAGACUCAAAUCCAGCUCGUAGUGUACUUUUACAAAAAACGGCAUCAGUAAAGUGGAGGGCACAAAGAGCUACGUACCUAUUGUUGCAAGUCCUCUCAACAUGAGUGUCAGCCACAGUCAAAUCUUUAUCACUGAUAUUUUCUUCAAAGGGACUUGGUAUUUCACUCCUGCCUUUAUGAACCUGUGCUUACUGUGUGGAACUUUUUAGACAUGCAGAAAACACACCUUUUUUAUGGCUGUUGAAUUUUGACUGGUCCAGUCAGCAUGUCUGGAGACUCAAAGUGACAAUAAUACUACAGUGUUGUAGAUAAGCUCUGCACCUUUUCUCACUUUCUGUGGAGACACACUCACUGAUACUGCUGUAGUGGCAUGAUGAUGCACUGCAGGUGUCCAGAAGUACCUAUUACCCUCCUGAUAAAAUCCAACCAAGCUGAUUCCACUCCAGCAUAAACCAGAAUAAGAAAAAAGUGCACACUUCUUACUAGCCCCUUCAGCCAACGUAAAACUGUUGCUGAACAAGACGGCAUAUAAACGCACAUGCCAGCCCCCACUUUAAACUGAAUAAAUGAACAGGGCCUCAAGUAAAAACCCAACAAAAUCAAUAAAAAAGUUUUCAUCAACAACUAAGUGUGAGUCCUCCACUCUAUCCCAUGAGUUCCAAAGAAGUCAAAGCCCUAUUCCAAGUGCAAGUUCUAGUCAUCAGUCCUGAAAAUCUGGACUUUGAUUCCUGGACUUGAGUACAGCAGAACUGAAGCUAUGCCCACUUUAAUGCUAAGGACAGAUGGCUGCUUGCUGCCUAGCAACAGUAACAACAUAUGGCUCACUACUACUUUAAAAAAUUCAUGACUGGGUGGUGUGCGCAUUGACUCUUAAAGUUUGACUAUAAAUCUACUUUUUUUUUACAGAGAGCUAAAAAGUAUGAACCCAUCACUGAGUGAUAUGAAUAUUGCCUCAGUAAUAUUAAUAAGUUAACUAUGUCCCUCUGCUAUGAAACACCAUUAAGUGCAAGUGCAUAAAAACUAAUCCUAAAUCCAAAUUAUCACAUGAAUACAACCAUCCAGCAAAUCCUUGGAGGUUACUGCAGAAGGAAAGGGCCAUUGGCACAGUGAUUUCCCUGAGCUCUAACCCAUUUGGUUCAAGUAAAUAAUGGAUAAAUGAGUCUGUGAGGGUCUGUUAUGAAUGAAACAGUGUGAAAGGAAACUGAGCACAUUUGUAUGCAGCAGGACCAGUGCCAAGCUGUAGUACCAAUACCCUUUAAACCAAUUGGAUUCUGGUCGAACAGUCUCUUCUAAUUUUACAGCCCUGCAGCCUCACGGCACUGAUGGCUUGUUCUUGCUCGUGCCAUCCGCGGCCUGUUCAACGAUAAUCUAUUACUUGCCUCCAUUCAGAGACUGUAGGGCUCUCAUUGAGACGCCAAGGUUCGGUGAAUGCUUGUAUGCUGGCGCCAAGAGACAGUGUUUGCACAAAUGUAUCCCCUCCAAUAAUGUAAGCCUGUGUGCUCUAUUGUUACAUCUCUGUGUCUCCCUCACUGUCAAUGAUUGUUCUGUUGUAGGGCGCACCAUACAAUACCCCAAUGUCCCCAAUCCUGAGUGCAUUACCAGCCAUCUGACUCAGAUGGUGGUCUUUGAGGAGGAUUUGAUUAAACUUUCUCUCUGGUUCUUGGACUCCUUCCCUCUAGUAUUGAAGUUUAAAAUUUACAUCUAGAGUCAUAAUAACAUUUAAAGAUGUGGAUACGCUCUGUAAAUGGAAUUAGCUCCACACAUUUGAGGGUGACAGGUGCAGGAACACCUGACUGCACCUCUAGAGUGACACUGACUGACACCAGAAAUAAGCAGACAGCUCUGCUUUUCAUCGAGGUUAACAGCUUAAAACGCUUACCUCACUGAAAUAUUCCUGAAGACUGAAGCGUCUGCCUUCACUCACACUGACAGAGUACCAAUGUGUCACUGAGCUGCAUGAGUGAUGCCAUCCCCAGGAUGGAUGUCAAGGUGAUAAAUCGUCACACUCUCCAUCUCUUUCUCAGACAUAAGUUGUGUUGACUGUGAGUAAUAAGAGGCCAUAAAAUCUGACAUAUCAUACAUUUCAGUGACACAACAAAAAUAAAAUAACUUUAACUGUGCUGCACUGUUUUCACAGUUUUAAAGCUCCAUCAGUUCCUCUGUAUGGUGAAGGGCACUUUGGCUGGCACAAUUUACAAUCACAAUUUACAAAAAGUGCCUGCAAAUUACAUAAAUAUUAAGGAGAAGAGGACGCACCCUCUGAUCAUCAGCAGCUAAUAAACUGAAGCUUAAUUUUCACAACCAAUUUGACUCCCUGAUUAUUGUAAUUCAUCACUUUGGGUCUCAGGGAUCACUGAGCAGCAUUAAGCUCUGAUGUUGUAGCCUGCAGGUAUGUUGUUGUGAUAAAUGGCUUAAUCACCUGAAGCAGAGGAGGCUACACCUUAUGAGUAACACUGGGAUUAAAAAGUUAAAGUUUAUUCACGACUUAAUCUUUAGCUGGGAUCACUUUGAUAAAUACUCAGCCUUAAGGGAGGAAUCAAACACCGAGGAAGACUUCCAAUGUGUGAACGUGUCAGCCCCAAAGAGGCCGAUUGUUUGAAGAAUAACAACAGAGCAAGGCUUCUCCUUUUGUAAUUCAUCACAAUAGAGUCUCUGUGGACACCAAUGUAUUAGGACUGUCUGUUUAAAUGCAGAUACUGUCUCACCUCUGGCAAGUCCAAAGCAGCAGUAUUUCCAAAUGCCUUAUUUAACUAUUAACAGCUUGCACAGACAAAUGGUGCUCUCACUCAUGUAAUACAUCAUGGUGAACAGCACAGGCACUUUGCAAAUAUUCUGCAAAAGACCAAGAAGUUUCACUCUGCUGGGGCUCCAAUUUAAGAGCAAUUUACUGAUUUUCUCAAGCAGGGGUGUAUUGAGUGGAAGAAAUUAACCAAAGUAAGACUAUUUUUCAGUUUCACACAGAAUAUAAACACGUUUUCACUCCCAAAUCAUGAAACUUUUCCAAAUAAGAGAUGGAGCCUAGGGAUGCAUUACUUACAUCAGUUGAAUUGAUAUCCAUUAAGUGGUUAGACGGAAGAAAUAUAGUGCUGUAUGAAUGAGGUGACUGACACUGGACGUUAAAAAUAUAUGUUAAUUGGAAUCACACCAAAUCUCAUUUCUUGUAGUUUGACUAACAACAACAAAAAAAUAGUAGUUUGGCGUGGAUUUACUUUUAUGUGUUCACACCUUAAUUGAACCGAAACUGGCCCAUGUAAUCUAUCUAUGCUCCACAGUUUGCAUGAAGGCCUUUGACCUUGAAGCUAGCAUUAUUGUUCUGAAGCCAGGAAAUAAACUAAAACCUUUAAAGAAAAAGAAGAAAUGUAGGAGUAAUUAAGAAUACCCAUACUAAACAGAUAAAGACCUGUAAAACUGACUGUGUUUCCAUUGUUUUACAUACAACAGGUUUGUUGGUUUGGUGUGUGACAUCAUAGUUCAACUAGGAGAAGGCCCAUUAAUGAGCUGAAAGGGGGUAUGACACCAUCUACCAUUGAGAUGGUAGACACACUCCUCAUUUCCUCCUGAUGUUUAUGAACAAGAACUGUAGUCUAUUAAAACCACCUAUCUGAGCCAUGACCUUCUUUAACAAAUAUUACAUUCAUGUUAGCCUUUCCAGAUUUUGGUUAAAAUUCUUCCACACUUGAGUAAUUAAAAACCAUCUUCACAAAAAGUUCGACUUUUUUACUUUGUACAGAAUACUCUCCACUGUAUCAAAAAUCCUCCAGGAGUGGGCAGCUACUGUAGAGCUUCAACAGUGGAGAUUUCUUGUUUAACCAACAGUAGGAAAAGAAGGUAAGUAGGCUUUCAUUAUUUGUCUUUGGUUAUAUCUGUCAGUUCAUGAUUUGAAUCUCAUCCAGUAUGACUUUUCAGAUUUGUGAGGUACCCCAGCUUGAGGUGUUACCUCAUGCUGACUUCUGUCCUUCAGUCCUCCUUUGUAACAUGCAUUUCUCUUUAAAAAUGUCACAAUAUAAUCUAAACACACAAUUCUCUAAAUUAGUGGUAAUAUGCAGGUUUGAGCUUUAUCGGAAAGGUACAAUGACUAUCCCUCCAUUAUCGAUUCCUCCAGCAGGCUGAAGCCUGUUGUGGGUGUCAUAGGGUACAUUUUUCGACAGAAAGCCAGUCUGUCAUGGCGCUGAUUUACAUAAAUAUAUAUAUAGAGAGAGACAGAGUGAGAGGAAAAAAAAAAAAAAAAAUUGUGCACUACCUAAAGGCAGAGUGACCAAUCAACUCUACAGAUACAUGGGACAAACGUGAACAUGCGUAUAUGGACUCCACACAGAAAAGCCCCACAGAAAGGAUUCAAUGAUAAUCAAAAAAAUAAAUCACAAAAAGUGAUGUCCACAUUCAGGAUGUGAAUGUUCGACAUUCAAGUGUGUCACUUCAUUUUGUGGCUCUGUUGACUGGUGAGACGCACGGCAGUUUCAUUCUUUGCAGCAGCCCAAUGGUGCUUGUUCGGGGAUUGCAGCAGCAAGUUGACAGGUUCAUCAGUCAGAAUGUAGCGUGUUUAUAAAAUAUCAUCUGUAUAGAGCCCACAGGUGCCAGGUCAGAAAAAAAAAGCUAUAUGCUGAGAAAUUUGCUUGCAGCUAAUAGUUGUUGUUUUUUUUUGAUUGACCUCACACAUGGGCCCCAAACAUGUGCUUUUAUGCAGAGACUUAACUGUGCAUCCAUAGGAGACGGGGGUCACCCACUGAAGCCAAGGCUGAUGACACUGAUCCUCCACACAUCAGAAUCUGGUUUAUAAUGAAGCCCACGCAGUGAGUCAGACUUUUACAGAGCACAUCAGUGGUGAUCUCAAUGUGUCACAACACCACUCACAGAAGUCCACAUCAGUCUCUGGAUCUGAGGGGUUAUCGUUCUCUUUCUUUCCGUGAGCCACACACACAUAAAGCACAUAUGCAUGAUCUAUAUUUAGUGGUCAUUCGCUAUUCAUGGGUUACCAUUUAUGGUGAUUACAGACCAGCAGGGGCAAGCUGUCGAUUAACGAAUAAAUAUCAUUCAUGAACACGUGCAAAUUUGAGUGUUUAAAUGUUCCAUGGUGACCGAUUGAAAACUGCUGGGACAGCAACACUGAGAAAAUUUGUUGCAUCAUUUCUCUUGCAUGUGGUAUUGAAAUAUUAAAACAUGUUUUGUGUGGUGGUAGCUUUUGUUUACACUUCCAUACCAUGAAGCAACAGCAGCAGCAUUGUCUAAAAUAACAGUCUCUACGGGACAUGCCCUGGUGUUUGAGAGCCCACUGUGAAAAUAACACUGAACACACUUCACUCUAGCUCUGCCUGAUAUCAAAAUGGCUUCAAGUGAAACCUGAACCAAACAUGCUCUCAACAACAGCUCUUCAUGUUCGUAACAAAACUCUUCAGCUGUGAGAUUCUCACUUGAACUCCUCUGCUGACUGGAACAUUUCUGUUUGAGUCCUUUUGAUUAGAAAGCCACACAGAGGCUUUGAUAAACAAAGCCAUCUUCACACAUUCAGGCACAAAGACAUGGUAGACUAUUGAAGAGAUAUAAUAUUUAUGACAACUAGACAAGUUUGCAUGCUAAUUAUCACCCCCCUCUCACUUGUCAGCAUAAUAUGCAUUCACUUUCUCUAAACCCAUCUCUCAACACAAGCUAACUGUACAUAUGGAAAAAGACAUAAGGAUGAGGUGGUGGCAUAAAUCUGAGGAGAAUCUCCAGACAAAUUAGCUUUUCUUCCUCCCUUUACUAAGAGUCUGAAUUAUAUACUGUAUUGAUACUAAAUAUACACUGUAAAAUCCAAUUAGUUAUCAUUACUUAGAAAAAGCAUGCAAACCUGUUGCACUUAAAAAAAUAAGUAAAAUGAGCUAGGUAUUUUGAGUUGUACUAACUAGUGCUUCCUUAGUAGAGUACACUUAUAAAUUAGUUAAAACAACUAAAACAUUAAAGGGGACCUGCCAUAAAAAUGUAAUUUUGUGUGUUUUUUGUGUCAGAUAAGGUCCAUAUUAUGUUCGUCUUAUGUUGUAAAUGUGAAAACAAACCAUUACGUCGUUUGCAUUCUAUGAAGGUUUAAAAUAAAGGAACAAGUAAACCAGGCCAAUUGAAAAAGCAGGUCGGUGUUACGUUGCGCCGACCUUGCUCAUUAUUAUUCACGAGCGCGUCCAGGUGAGCCGUGCCCACUCUCUCGUUCUCGUACUCAGUCACAGCCAGAGCGAGACCCAGCUAUCACUGUAUCCGCUAUGGGUCUCUUCCAAACGACCGGUGUUUCCUUCGGUUCACUGCCAGGAAAAUGAACUUAAAGCUGGGCAGAAUGAAUGAGAAAACACUGCUUGAGAUCUCCGGCUUCUUCCUCAACUUCCACCUCCUCUUCGGACUCGGGGUCUAAAAUAUAUGGUUUAAUACCUGCCGUUUUAGCCUUUAGCAUAAGAUGACCAGACGUCCCCGAUUUCCGGGGACAGUCCUUGUAUUGGAUGACCUGUCCCCGGCAAAAUCUGUCCCCGAUUUAAGCGUUUCAUGAAUGAGAGCAAAAAUGUUGCGUGUGGGCUCGAACAACGGUUAUUACAGUAGCCGAAUAGGUAGGAAGCACAAGUUAGCAGUCCUGAACAACAGUUCUUAUGGGGGUUAUUACAAGGGGCAUGCGCUACUACUAAAUAGUACUGAGACUUUGUCUGUGAGCACACAGCUCCUGCAGCCCCUGCACCGCCGCCGCAUCGAAUAUCCCCGGAUAUCAUUACAGACAUCUGGGCACCUUACUUUAGCACACAUUAGCAUAUGCUAUUAGCAUUAGCAUAAUAACAGUGUAUAAACCGAAAUCCGAACCUCCACUGCUGAGCCAAUCAGAGCACAGCAGGCUUCACAGCAGCGAUCCAAUCAGAGCAAAGCUCAUUACCAUAAAUGUUAAUGAGCCAAAACCAGUUGGCUUUCCUGUAAGGUUUUUUUAGGCAUACUAAAACAAACCAUCAAAUAACUUUUCAGCUAAAAUUAUGUUGCAAACAUGAUCAUAGGACAUCAAGGAUUAUGAAAAAAUGAUAAAAAUGGGUAUGAAAUUUUGGUGGCAGGUCCCCUUUAAAGUAGAGUGUACUUGAUAACUUACUUCAGGUGUACUUUUGACUUAGUAAAGACUACUAAGAAUUACUAUUUUAAUCUACUUAGUCAUUGCGUGUGAGAUUUACUCUUUGUUUAGUAAGUAUAACACACUUAUCUAAGUUAAGCUAACUUAACAUUUCUAAAUUAUAUUUAUUUGAACAGCUAUCUGAUUUACUUGCUAAAAGCAAUAAAGUUUUACUUUAUCAAUAUAAGAGGCUCGAAUAUCUAUACAGGAAUGAAAACAGGUUCCAAUCUUCUAAAAUAAUCUGAAUCACAAUUAAACAAUAAAUCAAGGUAAUAACACAGUUGAAAGUUCAAUUAUAACAAUUGCUUUUAUUUUUCUUCUAUUUAUAUCAACUUUUUAAAGAUUGCCUGAAUGACAUUUGUAAACACAGCUUUCUGUAAUUUUUUGGUUAAAAAAAAAAAAAAAAACAGCAACAUGCUGACAAGUGCACUUUUGUAUUCCUGAGUAAUGUUACUCAAAAAUCAGUAAAUAAAAUGUAUAAAAAAAACCUGCUGUCAAGUGCAAAGUGGCUUCAAUGAGCUCAAAAACCUGAAAGGGUAAUAACUAGCAAUGGAGCUCAUGAGUGUGAAUGGAUACAAACAGAUAUACAGCCUCUAGUAACUUGUUGAUGAACCCAUAAUUUCAGUGGAGGCUCUUAUUUUAGUGAACAAUAAAAAAACAGCAGAAUCCACUCCUACAUUUGCAUGCAUGUUCUAAGUCAACAACAGAUUUUUGAGACUUUGCAAUUUUGGUGGGAGUUUGUUCUCUCCCAAGCCAAGCAACACUCUUUGAAUGAAUCUGAAAGUGUUUUUCAUGGUUCUAGGGUAGUCCAAAUGUAAAGCGUAUGACAGCCCAAACAAAAGGCAAAGUGCCUCAGGUAGGUUCUGGAGAUCAUCCAUUACAAUACCUCCCUCAACAAUGAUGGCAGUAGACACUGGGUGAAGGUGGAGCAUGUUUGGAAUGAGUAUCUCAUUUUCGUUGACAACAGUCAGCAGCCCGACAGACACUUAUGCCCAGGUCUCAUCAGUGUCACAAUCAUGUGAUGAAACCAAACAAAAACCAUCACAUUACAUCAAGGACAUUUUUUAAAUCCUCAAUUCAAAAUUUUCACCAUUUCAAGUGUCCUGUCCAGCCUUGUGCAUUAAAGAAAUACUCAAAUGAUCUGGGAGUUGACUGUGUAUCAUUUUCAUAGUGAGACAACAUGAUCAAUAACUUUUUUUGUGUCUGUACGUCAGGACACAGAAUAAACAGAGUGCAGGUUUGCUUCAUGUGAAAUUGUUAAAUAGGUUAAAAACAUGGACAAAGCUCUGUUAUUUUUUAUAUUUGAUCAGCGUUGUUACAGCCACUUGUGCAGGCACACAAACAUUUGUUAGAGCUGAUGGACAGUGGUGAUCUGAUGACGCUGUCAUCACUAAAAAGCGUCACUUCACAUGACGCUCUGGAGGAAAGGACAUCUCAUUUCUCUAAAAACAAAUCUCCUCUAUGCUCUGUUCAUUUUCUCCAUGCAUCUCUGGUGGGAGGGACAAAGACGCAAGUGGACAACACAUGUGGAGGAAGGAUGGGACUUACUUGUUUUAGGAUUUAUCCUAUAUCAAUCUAGAAAACAAAGAAAACAAAGUAUUUCUGCUUUAUUUGAUAAUGACUGUGGAACCAACUUUCUCCAUGGAUCAGAGAGGCAGACACUCUCUCCACAAUUAAGUCCAGGCUUAAAACCUCCUUCUCUUCUCCUCUACCUUUUACCUUCUCUUAUCCUCUCCUCUUCUCAUCUCCUUCUCCCCUCCCUGUCUCCUUUUCUUUUCCGCUCCCAUAUCUUUUUUUUCUCCUCUCCCUAUCUCCUUCUCUUAUCCUCUUCUUGUCUCCUUCUCUUUUUCCCCCUCUCCCAUCUCUUUUCUUCUCCUCUCCUCAUCUCAUUCUCAUCUCUUUUUCUUCUCCUCUCUCUCCUUCUCAUCCCAUCCUCUCACCAUCUCUUUCUCUUCUCCCCCUCUCUCCCUCUCAUCUCUCAAUCUUAAUUUAUAAAGCACAUUUCUAUAUGCAAUGUGCUGCAUAUGAUAGAAAGGCACUGCAACAUAAACAAAAAGCACAGGACAACUGUUCUGGCAUGCAGCGGUCCUUCCAAAUCAAACCCCAGAUGCUGUGGUUUGGACUCAUCCUUGAUAUAUAAUACAUCUCUGUCAGAUGAACUACCAGGCAUACCAAAUGCAUUUAAAACAUAAUACUAUUUUUUCUUUUCUAAAUCGUAAGUAAAAUAGGCAAGACUGGAGGGUCUGGCAGCUCACCUGGUAGAGCAUUUAUUACAUGUAGAGGUUAUGUCCUUACCAUAGUGACCCUGGAUUUGAAUCUGCCCUGGGUUAUUUGCUGGUUGUCAUCCCUUCUCUCUUUCCCCCUCUUAAAUAACUCUGCUUUUGGACAUGAAAGGUAUUCCUCUCACGUCACAGGAGCUAACUGGUUACUUCACCCCUUCUGGUUUACACCAAACUGUCAGCUAGCAAGCAGCCCAUGCCAAUGUUUGGACUGAACUCAUGGAUAUAUUCAGUAUUACUUUUUUUCUUAUCUAGGUCUCAUUGAGACACUGGUAAAUACAAAUAAAAUUUCCCUAUAACUAUGUAUGUUUCUUAAAGAUGUUUCUAUGAGAACUUACGAAGCAGGUGUUGUAGAAGUCAUUGGUGUCAUCACCAAGUAGAACAGGGAGGCCUUGGAGUACAAUGGUGCGCAUUGCUGUCACAUCUGGUUUCUAGAAGUGGAUGAUGAAUAAAUCAAGCUCUAGAUAAUGCAGCAUUCAAAAGCUACAGCACAAAAAUGCCUUUAAAAGUCUGAAUGAAACAAGUGUCACAACUGACUUACUGAUUUUACUGAGAAUUAAUUUUUAAGAAACACUCAAUCCACAACUGUAACAGAAAGUACCAACAUAAGUUUGAUGGUGGUUGUACUUAUAUUGUACCAUAUGCACUGUAUAUUUCUUGCGAUAAUUCCUCUGAGUUCAUCAGUGGAGGCAAGUUGGACACCUGUGCUGUGAUCAGACACAGCUCUUUCAUAUCAGUCUCUCCUUACUUCCAUCGGGAGGACAAACAGAGAUGUUACAAAUGUUAGACUGACUAAUCAGGAACAUUCCACCCCCCACUCACUUAAAUCCAUAACACCUGUUCACAAUAUAGCAUUACAGAGUGACUAAGUUAAACCCCUUCUGGUAGACUUCAUGAGACCUUGGAUCAGAAAAAAAUAUGAAUAGCAGUUAAUGAGAAGAAAAAUAUAAUCUUUUGGGCGUUUUCAAGUUGUGACAUGAAUUCAAAAUAUGUUUUUAAUUAAUUCAAAACACAUCAAUACUACUCUUGCCCUUCUAGCCAUUUCCUCCCAUCUUCUAAACCCUAUACAUUGUUACAAAAAAAAUAUAAGCAGCAAAACUGCAAUAACUAUUUAAAGUCAACUUGCAAUGAGAAAUAAAGACAGAAGAAGCCUUUCAUGGACUCACCGCUGCAUCAAUUUGUUCCACCAACUGUGUCAGGGUCUGUCCCAUACUUCCUUUCUUUGCCUUAAAGAUCUCGACAAAGCGUGGAGUGUGGCGGUCCAGGGCCUCAAAGAAGUCCACCUGUAGGUUCUUGGUGACUACCCUAUUGAACUCUGCAUACACCUGCAAAAAAGCAAAAUACAUGGUGACUAAAUAGGGUUGGGCUAGUGUAGAAAAAUGCAUUCAGAGCUGUUGGUAGUUAAAUUUUAAAUACAACAGUAAUUGGCAGACUGACUGUAGUACAUAUAUAUAUAUAUUUGUCUCAAUACUUCUUCUGACAGAGCAGAGGGGUGGAAUACUGCAAAAAAAAGACUUACGAAGGAAAAACAAAUUUGUUACAUGAUUAUAAUUUCUGUGCUUACUUGUCUCUCGGUCAACAGAGCUGGCCACCGCUCCUUUAAAGUUUUCACUGGAGGUCCUGCCUCCACAAUCUGUCUUCUCUGCAAUGGGAAGGUCUGGUCCAUCUUUGAGGCGAUGACAGCUCCACUUGGGUUCCUUUUUUUCAUUUCUUCAACGAUGAGUUUUCUCUCAGCCUCAAGGCUCUCUUCACUCUGUCCCUCAGGAAUGUCCGGUAGGUAAUUAACCUCAUACCUUCUUGGUCUUUUGAGACCUUUCAAAGCCAUUUGUGGUCGACCUCCUUUUCCAGCAUUCAUUGCAACCUCUAUACAUCCUGUUCUUUUCAGUUUACCGCAAUAGUUCCCCAUUUUGAAUUUUAAGCUAUGCUUCCAGCCGGAACACCCCAGGUGAACCUGGUUCCCUUAAACAUGGAUGAUGAGUGCAAGUGCCACAGAUUGGAGCCGCUCAACACUUGGGUAGGUGUCAAAUUUGUUAAUUGUUUCAGCAAGCUUUUCCAGAAUACAAUGCUUCACAUCUUUUGGACGAUUCCAGUACAUUUUAUCCUGUAGACAUGCAAGAUCAGCCUGUCGCAGUCUAAAUGCCACAUCCACUGGGAACUUUGGGAUUUCAAAAAACUCUGGCCAUGGCUCUUGUCUCAUUAAUGAAGUUGGGCUGUGGGACAGAAUCUCUGUAUCUUUGGAGGCACAUGAGGCAUCAGAUGUGCUGGUGGUGGCGGCAGUCACAAUCAGUGGAAUCACCUUCACAGUAGCUCUUAAAGCUGGCAAGUCUUUAAUUUAAUCGUUUGAGGGUAGUGUUCAAUGAAAUGAUGUUUUGGAUGAAGUUUUUAGUUCGGAAAAGUUUCCUGCAGCAACCCUCUAUGUUCUGAGAUUUUGCAAUCCAGAAAGUGGAUUAACUCAUCUGUAAAGUGUGACAACAUAACCAUCUCCAGGAUAUCUUUAAAGAAGCAUCAAAAUCUCCCAUGCUUGCUCCCCCUCAGGAAUAUUGUGGCCUAUCAUCAACGGAAGCAGCCUCAGGAGAGACCAAUUUUCAUGCCCAUACCCUCCAAUAGUUCCCUUAGAGAUGAAGGUCUUUGGAAUGACCUGUGGUUGGUCAGCUUUAUCAGAAAAUGUAUAAGCAAACCGCCUUAUAGCCCAAAAGCACAGGUGAGCAAGGGCACAAAAUGCCCUUGCAGCAUUAGGCCAUAUAAACCAACUAAUAAGGGAAGUACUUCACUUAAAAUUCAGGCUAACGAUAUGGCAUGAAUUUAUCGUUAAGAAAAAUAGAGAGUGAGUGACAGCAGUUGCUGUACUGCUGAAGAAUGUUGUUUUGAUUCAUUAAAAGGCUGACUCUUUAUUUUUAAUUCUUUGUGUUCACUUUUGAAGCAUGAGCUAAAAAGACACUGUUUGAAUGAUAAAAUCACACAAAGUGACCGAUCAUCCCUGUCCCUAUCCAUGUCUUGACGCUCAUGGAGGAUGCUGAGCGAUUCAGGAGGGAUUUAGAUAAAAUACUCAUGUACAUUGGAUGAAAAUCUCUCUUCUUCUUCUUCUUCUUCAGCUUUUCCUUCAUUUCUCUGCUUUGUGAGAAAGCCUUACUUAUACCAGUGAACGUUUCAUUCAUGUUAUGCACUCUGAAGGGAGCGUUUGUUUUGUUAAAUGUUCGACAUAAAUGAUCAGACUUUGUGCGGGAGAGAGUGGAUGGCUUCUCUGUGUUACGAAGCAGGCACCAAGGAGUAGCUACUUGAAAUUAAACUGUGUGGCUGCACCGCUGCCUCUCUAAAUGCCCUGACAGGCUGGUUAGCUAACUAACGCUAGCGUUAGCUAGCGAACGCUAACAGUCAUAGCAUCAAGUGAAACAUUUUAAAAGACAAACUUGCGUGUUUACUUACCUUAUUUUUCUUACAAAGAAAAACCAACGGUGGAAAACUUAGUCCAGCAGGCUGCCUUUGUCCCAGCCGUGAGCUGUGUCGGUACUUGCGGAGCGGGAGACUGACCGUUGCUACUGCGCAUGCUCACUUCUUCCUCUUCUUUGAAUGCGCUGUCAGAGUGAGACUGUGCUGGCUACUUAUUGUUGUGAGUGAGCAUAGCUCUAAAUUAAGUAAUCUUGACUGUAAACACUAAGUACUUUGUGUUUUUCACCAUGAAAGUAACCGUUACUUCCUAAAUGCCAGCAAGAAGUGCAUACUUUUGAUAACCUAGUAAAGUUUACUAAGGAUUUGUAAGUCAGGGCAGAUAUUGGAUUUUACAGUGUAGUAUAUAGUUUGACUUUCUCCCCCUCCCAUUUGAACAUGCAAACGAGAAACUUAUUUGACUUUCUCGUUUUGGACUUUGUGUGUGUGUGUGUGUGUGUGUGUGUGUGUAUGUGUGUGUGUUUAAUUUGCACUAUGUGUAAUUGUUCAUGUCUGAAUAAAAAAAUGUGUUUAUGUAUAUAUAUAGACACUUUGUGUGUGUGUGUGUGUGUGUGUGUGUGUGUGUGUGUGUGUGUGUUUAUUGUAUUCAUGACACCACAGGCAGUAUUUUCACACUGGGUUUGUUUUUGUUUUUUUUUUCGUUGCACUACAUGUUCUACCAGAAAAAGACCCCUACAGUUGAUUUCUGCCCAAAGUAAACCUUCUUAAAGUCAUCAUUUCAAGUUUUUGCUUUUUUGGACUUCUCCAGAGGCACCUAUAAGUUUUCAAUCUGUGUCUUUGUUGAUACUUGAGUAAAGACUUCCCAAUUUAAGCUUCUUAAUAAUCAUCAUUUGGUUUUUGGUGUAAAAUAUACUACAUUUCGGGAUGGUCAGCACAACGACCAACUGUACAACACUUCCAUUUUACAGAUAUAGUAAACACAAUGGAGUGAGGGUCUGAUUCAAUGGUUUUCAGGACUGAUACCAAUUAUUUAUACUUCAUGAAAGUGACACCUGAUAUUUAGAAAUAAUAGCAUUUACACUUUUAAUGAAUAUCUUGGUCGAAUUUUUAUUUUCAAGUUAUAUUUGUGGACAUGUUUGCCUUUGAUGGACGGGAGAAGUAAAGAAGACAAGAAACUUUGGGGGAGAAAAGAGUGCAGGAAAAAAUGCAGCAGAGGGACAAGGCCAGGUCUUGAACCAGCAACUGCUGCCACAGACUACAGCCUUAAAGGUCUACUGCGGCGUAAAAUUAACUUAGGGUCAAACACACCAUAACACCGAGUUAGACACCCCCUCGAGAGAUGAGUAUUGCUGACUGCUUGCUUCCUAAGUUAUACCAACUUUAGUAACGACCGCACGAUUGUAAUACACAGUGGUCUACAUCUUCACGUGCAAACCUCAACCAAAAAUCCACUCUAUAGCCACAAAUAAUGCUCAGAACAGCACCUAACUUCAUCAACAGUACAUAUAAGGUCCCAACCAUAGUACUAGCCAUCAAACAUCUUUUUAACUUUGCCUAAUUUCUUUAGCAAAGAGACCAAACACAACUCACCCACUCUCUUCCAGCAGCCGCUUGUUUGUGGGGGAGCCAUGAUGAAACGAUCACCAAGUGCAGCGGAUCAUUUCCUUGAAGUCAUAAUCAUCAUAAUAAUCAUUUUGCACUGCAGAUGUGGUAGUCCUUCUGUCUUAGCGUCUCGGUCUGAUUGCAUUUUCAUGAAGUAAUAGUCAUAAAUUUUCCCCUGCACUCGGUGAUCGACUCAUCAGGGCUCCCCAACAAACAAACGGCUAACAUGGUCUACAGAAUGUUCCCAGAAACCUUUUAUUUUUUUACUAAAAAUGUCUUUUUAAUUUUUAUAAUACAGGUAAUGAUAUAGAUUUACUUGACAACAACAAACUAUCCUUGGUAAGUUGUCUUUUUUUAUCUAUUUUAAUCAAACCUUGGCCGUAUAUGGUUUGCCAACCAUCAAUACUUGCUUGUAUCAAUGUUUUACAGUGUUUCAACUAUUUUUGGAGCUUUUGUAAAACAAAAAUCCAGGAAAGCUCCAGGAUACAUCUAGUGUGAACUUGCACUGAAAUUCUGAUAAAAACGCAGGUAAAAAUAGCACCCUGAGAUUUUUUUUAAAGUAAGAAAAAUAAUCAUCAAAAAUUGUGUAACUUUCACUUUUAUUGGAAAGUUCUUUUUCAAGACUUCUGAAUUAGAAAACCUUUGAAUGUGUAGCAAUCAAGACAACCCUGGGUGUGAAACUCACACAUUCCUCACAGGAAAGUUUUCCUAUCUGGUCCCAGGACACAGGAUAUAAAUCUUUCCAGACUUGUUUGCACUUUCAGGUUACCUAAGUGACCCGACCGGAGGUUGACCAAACCUCUGACUCUUCACGAUUGGUCAAUUCGGAGAACAGAGACAGAGUUUUUACUACCUUUCAAACUGACUCCAUCGCUGACCAUCUAAAUAAACAAUAACGCCUCAACCCAGAUCUCCAAUUUCAGAUUUACUGUCUUAAAGUGUGUGAACAUUUUUUUAACAUCGUCUUAGUUCAAGUUUUGAAACUUCAACUUUUUGUGCGCAUAGCAAUUCAAGAUUAAGCCUUUGAUUGAUUUUCAUUAAUUUCGCAAAGCCAUUUUUGAAAGUUUUCUCUGCUGCUCGAACCUCGUUUUUCUGAGUUAUCUGUGUGAUUUCAAAGUCACCUCUGAAUGCAACCCAGCAGGCCCAGGUCAUCCUCUGUGCCAGAGUUUUCGAGUGAGACCAAAGAAGCGUCCAAACAAGCAUCCACAGGAUCCACAGGCGCCGGCUUUACUUCAGGCCCGAGUGCUACAACUCCUGGCCCAUCCUUCAGCUGACUUCAGUCGUCUUCUGAGCUGAACCGCUCGAACCGCCGGUAGCCCCGGAACUUCGGAACCUGCUCCAUCUUCUCCAAGGGCCAGUCUCACUUAAGUAUGCAAACCUCCAGAGCUCCAAAGAGGGCUGAUGCUGUCUCAUGCGUUCAUAACUCAGAUAUCCACUUAUUCUGGUAAUCUUAGAUUCCUCCAAAUCCACAUCCGAGUUUAUCUCGACACCAAGUUAGUGUAGGCUAAUAUGUUAGCGCAUAUUCACUCACUAUCAUUAACUUUAGUGCUCCUAGCCUGACUCAGAAUCUUUAUUUACUCACCUAUUAUUAUUUAUCCUCAUUAUCUUGUCAUCAUUUAUUGCAUGUAUGUUGUACCAUAAUUUAUCCUGUAAUAAACAGAUAAUUAUUUUUCUAAGUUCUGGUCUGUAAGUGUUCUUCCAGAAGUGGAGUCCCUGAAAUUAGAAUUUCGGCUAAAGAUAUGAGAUUGAUUAAUUAAAAAUUGACUUAAUGUUUGAUUUCUGAAUUAAACUUUUGUUUUCUUUAUUUUCCCACCAUUAAGGGUAGGUGGUGCCCCUUUCAACGAGUGCAUAAAUGUCAUAAUUUGAGAUUAUUAAUCUUCAGACAUUUAUUAUAAUUUCAAAUCGCUACAAAUGCAAUGUUAAAAGCAAGAAGUGCAACAAGUUUUUUUUAGCAGCAUCACUCAUGAUAGUACCUAAAAAGGAAAAAAGACAUAAAACAAGAGACAAUUAAAUUUGAGUUCCAAUUAAGCAGCCCCAGACUGUGGUGCACAGAGUAGAGCUGUUCAGUAUGCUCUACAUUUAGACAGCUGAGGCUUCACUGAGGACUUGCUCACUCAGAACAGUCGUGAUGAGCAAACAAACUUUCUUGCUUGCUCAAGAAACAAACCCAAAGUGCCCUUCAUUCUGUUUUCACCACUUCAGUAGAUCCUCUUCACGUCUGUUUAUCACUGGCCCCUCUGUGUACAAAUGUAUCCUUAUCCUUAUCCUUACGACUGUUGUGUUUUGCUGCUAUAUGAAUAAAAUUUGAUUGAUUGAUUGAUUGAUUGAUCUGCAUAUGUAGGUAUGUGUGAUAAGUAGAUGUUGUGCAUGUGCACACAGCCUCACUGUGUCCUGUACUUCUGAAAACCAUGAUAUUCAAAGUGUUUAAUAAAAUUACUUAUUCCUCACUCUUUGUGAAAUCAGAGGUGUUUAGGCUCCUCUUUAAAAGCUGCUUAGAGGCAAAAAGAAAUUGGACUUUUUCAUGGUGCUAAAUUGAAUAACAAUGAGCUGAUAAAGCUGUCUCCUGACAUGUUAUGUUAGAAAUAUUAUUUUUCAAGGCAUUUUGUAUCAAGAGGUGUCAAAUCUCAUUCUAAUGAAUACAAUGCUCUGCAGUUCUGUUAAAUUGGACUGAAAGCAUCAGGCUGCAGAUUGAGGAUCAUCAAGCAUACACAUUAUUACAGUUUGCUCAGAUUUAUGGAGAAGGUCUCAUAGUACUUUUAUUUAAGCAGAGUCGAUGUUUAAUUUUAAAUAAAUGGAUUCUUUUUGUUCAGGCCAAAACACUGAAUUCAUUUCAACGUCUAAGCAUUCUAUUUCCUUACAUAUUUUAUUCAACAGUUUCAUUUGCAGAUGCAAAUAAGUGUGGUGAGACAUUCUUAACUCGUCUGAGCUUAGAAAGCACUGGGUCUUUUUCCCUUUUCUGUGCAGAUGUUGCAACUGAAGGCAGAGCUUUUAUAUUGUCAAUGUAAAGUCAGAGUGACAGUCCAAUUAAAUCCAAUAAACAAAGAUAAAUAAAGUUGACGCCUCAGAAAGUCCUCACCUGGGGUUUCAUUUAUCAAACGUGCGUAGAAAAGGUUCUGAAUUCUGGCAUGGGAAUGAAAUUUAGAAUAUGCAUAAGUAUAAAAAAAUAUGUAUUUAUCAAACGUUGACAUCGGUCGUACACAUACACGCAAGUAAUCGGUGAUGAUAAAUCCCACCUGUUCUUUACUACCAUGCUCUUGCAUGGUUAGGGUCAUUUGCAUUCAGAAACGCCUCUAACUGACCAUAUAUGGUAACAACAAUCCCUUUCAAAAUGCGUGAAUGGAUCCCCCCUCACUGAAAUCAUGGAGGUGCACACCAGGGCCGGGUCUAGAAAAUGAUGGCUAGGGGUGCAUCUCAGAUCAGAGGGGGUGCACAUGCCUGGCACGUUAUUCAACACUAAAUUAUGCAUUUUCCCGUCAUUUCAAGCGGAAUGAAACUAGUCACACAAGAAUAUUUAAAAUGUCUUUCAUAUGCUUUAUUGUAGCAAAAUUGUUGUAGAAAAAGGAAAUGCAGAUGUUUCUUACCCUGAAUAUUUAACAUAGAAAUUCAAACUAUUUUUAACUAUACAGCUCAAAACCAUCACUAAACAUGACAGUCGUUUCAAGUGGAAUUCUACCAGUCAAAAAAGAAUAUUUUAAAGGGGACCUGCCACCAAAAUUUCAUACCCAUUUUUAUCAUUUUUUCAUAAUCCUUGAUGUCCUCUGAUCAUGUUUGCAACAUAAUUUUAGCUGAAAAGUUAUUUGAUGGUUUGUUUUAGUAUGCCUAAAAAACCUUACAGGAAAACCAACUGGUUUUGGCUCAUUAACAUUUAUGGUAAUGAGCUUUGCUCUGAUUGGAUCGCUGCUGUGAAGCCUGCUGUGCUCUGAUUGGCUCAGCAGUGGAGGUUCGGAUUUCGGUUUAUCCAUUGUUAUUAUGCUAAUGCUAAUAGCAUAUGCUAAUGUGUGCUAAAGUAAGGUGCCCAGAUGUCUGUAAUGAUAUCCGGGGAUAUUCGGUGCGGCGGCGGCGGCGGCGGCGGUGCAGGGGCUGCAGGGGCUGUGUGAUCACAGACAAAGUCUCGGUACUAUUUAGUAGCAGCGCAUGCCCCUUGUAAUAACCCCCAUAAGAAUUGUUGCUCAGGACUGCUUACUUGUGCUUCCUACCUAUUCCGCUACUGUAAUAACCGUUGUUCGAGCCCACACGCAACAUUUUUGCUCUCAUUCAUGAAACGCUUAAAUCGGGGACAUUUUCGGGGACAGCUUUUGCCGGGGACAGGUCAUCCAAUACGGGGACUGUCCCCGGAAAUCGGGGACGUCUGGUCACCUUAUGCUAAAGGCUAAAAACGGCAGGUAUCAAACCAUAUAUUUUAGACCCCGAGUCCAAAGAGGAGGUGGAAGUUGAGGAAGAAGCCGGAGAUCUCAAGCGGUGUUUUCUCAUUCAUUCUGCCCAGCUUUAAGUUCAUUUUCCCGGCAGUGAACCCAAGGAAGGCAGAUGAGUGACGUGCCCUGACGCGCGCGCACUUCUCCCUCUUUCCAACUGAGCAUGCAGCAACAUAAAAUGAGGGUGCAAUGCAUGCUUAUGCACCCCCGUAGAACCGGGCCUGGUGCACACUCACAGAGCUGUUCCUCAGCAUGAAUGAGUUGUGCAUUCCUCCAGGCCACCAGGCAACAACGCUUAACAGAAACAAAUGUGCAUUGUUUGUGCAUUGAUUGAAUGAAAUAUUCUCCUGUUGACAAAACUGAAUUUAUUCUGUAAAGAUGUUUUUAUUGCAACAUGGGUGCAAUAUAUGGCUCCAAUUAUGUUUGGGAAUUCGGCGUUGGCAUAAAAUCCUCGUUUUAUUUCGGCCUGUUAGUGAUGUAUGGGAACUGGAUGUAAAUUGAGGCCAGAGAAAUUAUUGCAUUCAACUCUGCCGGCAUAAUUCUGCUUAGCAUUGGGUGCAAAAUGCCGCAUAUGUCUCCAAUCUCACACUAAAAUGUUCCAGUGGCCAAAAAUUCCAGGGUGGACAGGAGCUGGAUGUGCACUGGGAUGGCUUUAGUGCCUUUUUUCUCUCGCUCCAACAUGGGUAGUAAAUCACGGCGUAAAUCCAUUUCAGGGAAGCAGUACCUGCUGACAAGCUACUCUGUGUUCUCACUAAACACAUCAGCACGGUCUUUAAAAACGCGCUUCCUGCGGAGCUUACAGUUCUCCAAGUCCUUCAAUAGCGCAAAAUAAGCCGUAGUACUUGUAUCUGUACUUGUGAGACUUCUUUUGAGGUUGUCCUGUCACAGCUGAUUUUUAUAGCUUGUCACACCAAUCAUUCAAAAUGUCUGCUAAUUUACUAAUUAGUAAAAUUUUAUACAUAGGCAAUGGGGAAAAUGUGUGAAGUUUGAGAUUGCUGAACGCUGUGACUCCUUUAUUUGGUUCUAUUUGUAGUUUCACUGUUCUACCACUAAAAUUUGUGUGUACGCAUGGGCAGAGUUGUGCACGUUCCAAAGCACAAGUACAGGUUGAUAAAUUCCAUACUUUGCGCGGGAAAGAUCGUAUGCACUCACUACGCACACAUCUGUGCGUAUGCAAGGUUGAUUAAUGAGGCCCCUGGUGCUGCUUUCUCCUACUCCCUCAAAAAAAUUUGGACUGCUUUACACCAAAGUCAGCACUUCCUGUCUCACACAAAUACACAUGCACACGCGCACACAAUAUAACCUCAUAACCAGAACUUGAAAGUGGCUUCUCUACUAAGACUCUCCCCUCUAUUAACAGCAACUGACAAGGUGCCCUUGAGCAACCCUCUGCUAAGCUGCAAUCCUGAGUAGCAUUUGUGCGUGUGUCCUGAGUAGCCUUUGUGUGUGUGUGUCCUGAGUAGCAUUUGUGUGUGUGUGUGUGUGUGUGUGUGUGUGUGUGUGUGUGUGUGUGUGUGUGUGUGUGUGUGUGUGUGUGUGUGUGUGUGUGUGUGGAAUAGAAUGACUGUUCUUGCAAUUUGUUCAGGUUGUGGUUAGUGCUGGUACACUGUUUUUUUUUUUACACAAUACCUCUAGAUAUAUAAUUGCUAUUCAUAUAUUAUGUCAAGCUGUUGUGCAGCAACUGUGGAGCUGUGCAGCUGUGGCCCAGAGGUAAACUCUGCUGUCUCAUAGGGUUCAAUCCCCACCUCUCACAGUUCCUGCUGGUGAGAAGAAUAGUAGGUGGGGCUGAAGGUUUGGAAACAGAGCCCUGUAGGGAGGUUUGGGGGUAUCCUCCCCAGGGAUAUAUUUUCUGGUUUUCACCUGUAAAUGAAGCAUUCUGGUGCAUUCUGACAAAAUAAUUAAGGAAACAUACCAUCUCAACCUUCAAAGACAAAUGGGGUGGGGAAACUGUAUUUCAACUUAUUAACAGGGUAUUAUAGCCAACACACAGCCUACCUACUUUAAAUUAAUCUCGUAUACUAGCAUACUUGUGUACAUUCACCUGCAUCUCAACAGGUUAGGCUACAGCAAAGGAGCACACAAAGAAAACAGUGAAGAGCAGACCCACAUUUAUAACAAAUCAGACUGCAUAUCAAUAUGAUCAGCCAUAGGAAAACAACACAAACAUUUGCCUCAAAUACAUAACAAUUUUAUUACAUCUGAUAUUUCAGUGUAACUGAAAAGAAACUGGGUGAACAAGUACAGGGUUCCCACUCUUUUCUAGCAAUCAUUUUCCAGGAUGUUUUCAUCCUGCCUUAAAAGUUAUUGAUUUCUAACAUUGUGGCAUGAACAUUGUCUGUUAACUUUCUUUUUAGUCUGUCUUUUAUGUAGUGUCUCACUAUAAUAAAUUUAUGGUUUUUAUUUGGUUUUAAUCUUUUUAUACUCUACCUUUUUACAAACAGAUUUUGUUGAUUAACUGUUUUAGUAGCCGACAUUUUAUUGUGCCAGCUUUAUUAUUCCUUUUUGUCACCAUUAUUUCGAAUGAAAAAGCAUACAAGGGAAACAAAAAAGGGCCUUACUGUUUGGACAUCUAGUUAGCCAUGCUUUGCGCACAUACCAUGCUCUUGAAAGUGUCUGCGUAUAUUGUUUGCCCUUCUCUGUGGUCACUUGCUGAGUGGUGACGUCUGGAUGUUUUGGACAAAGCUCUUUUAGCUUUAGUUUGUCCUGCAGAGUUCUCCUCUCAAACGGAACCUGCUUGAUGGACAGCACAACGUUCUCUGGUAAAUCUCUUGGUAUGGGUUUUGGGGUUGCCAUUCUCAUGUCUUCAUUCAACCAGAAUGAUGGGUGGACUGGCUCCCAGUAGAAUAGCUAGCUACGUCAGAAGCAUAUUGUUGCUAUGCGUGCUUUGUGACCCGUCUAGUUAUGAACGUGCUUACAUCAUUCAAAUAAGGGAUGCUUGGGCGCUGGUCCCUGGCGCCAAAGGUGACCAGAUUUCUGUAUUGAAAUCUGGGGACAUCCGGAGCAAAGGGGGCACUACUCAUAGCAGCGCACACUCCCAGUAAUAACCCCCCACAGGACUGUUGUUCAGGACUGUGCGCAAGAUGCUUACUCAUGCUUCCUACCGACUUGGCUACCAUAAUAACAGUUGUUCUAGUCUACACGCAACAUUUUUGUUCUCAUUCACGAAAUGCUUAAAUCAGCGACAGCUUUAGCCAGGGACAGGUCAUCCAAUAUAGGGACUGUCCAUGGAAAUGGGGGACGUCCAGUCACCUUACUGGUGCCCCUUCAAGAUUUCUUUUUUUAUUUAUCUAGGAUAAGUUAACUUUUUAAUGCAGAGCUGUGAUCUGAGCAUGUGCGAAACAACAGACAUUCCGAUUCCGCCCUGACGCUGGAUGGAGAGAUAGCUAACGGACUGAAAUACACAUUGAAUGGAAUGAUUAAUAUAAUAGCAUGAUUUCCUUAAUUUGAUAAUCAUUUUCAGGUAGACAGCAGACAUUUCUUUUUGUUCACACUGGCUCACGCAGCUCAGGCGGGUCGCUGCUGCUUAAUUUAUGUAGACAACAAGAAAAACACGAUUUUCAGCAGAGUGGGUCUUUAAGAAGCAUUUGCAACGUCAUCUUCACUUCUGUUUGUGAACCUAAACAGACCUUCUAUGGACUUAUUUGAUCCGCUGCCAUUUGUAAGAUCCUGGGUCAAAGCAGGGCAUCAUCUCUUCUGUUCUUGGAUGAAGGGAUAUCAGCGAAGAGGCCUAGCCAAGGCCUCUGUGGUCCUUUCUUGGUUAAGCUAAGAAAAAAAAAAAUCUAAACUCAGACUUAACUGACCGGCUGUGAUAGACCUGCUGUGCUUCAUGAUCUACAACAUCCGUGAAGUGUGGAGAGGAAUCAGUACCAUCUCUGGACACAGCAAUAAAAAGAAAAGACAGCCAGUUGUGGGUGAUGUGAAAACAGCUGAUGAACUCAACCUGUUCUUCAACAGAUUUGACACUGCUGUCACACCACUUCCACUGCUACUCCACCAUCCUCUCUGCAACAAAUCUUCACUACAACUUCUCCCCUUCCUCCUCCAUCUCAUUCAGAUGUCUCAACCACUUCAACUGCCUCCCUCCUAGAACACCAGUCCUUGUCUGUCACAGCAACAGGGGUGAGGAUGGAGCUUGGAAGACUUCGCCCUGGGAAGGCAGUUGGUCCAGAUGGUGUGUUUCCAAGGCUGCUUAGAGACUGUGCUGCAGAACUGUGUCAACCUCUCCACAGGAUCUUCAACCUGAGUCUACAGCUGGGACGGGUACAUACUCUGUGAAAAACAUCCUGCAUUGUGCCAGUACCAAAAACAAAAUGUCCUGCUGAACUCAAUGGGCUCUACUUUCAUGCCUCGUAGCGCAGGGUAAGUCAGGUCCACCGCACCGACAAGGCGGGCCCAAGUAUCCCCCGUCCCUAACUCAGCAUCUCCCAGUGGUGUAAGUAGAAGAGAGGGAAGAGACAAGGCGUGGAGUGGGCUUAACACAGCCGAGACCUGUUUUCACCAAUCACAUCAGCUCCUCUCCUCACCUUUAAAUCCACCACCAGCGAGGCGUAUAACAAUUUUCAUGCAGUAGUCGAAGAGAUCAACAGAUGGCUGAAGACAGCAAUGAGACACGAUGGUGACAAAAAGCAGCCCUUUAACAAGUGUCGCGGUACGGCAUCCUUCACACUCUUUCAUAUAAGCACAGAUGGUUUUGGUGUGUGUAAGUUUGGACCCACUGGUAAGACAAACAUCCUUUUCCACAAAUAAAGACAAUCACAUAAAGUUGCAUAUAUUUAAACCCCACAUGACAAAUGUGGGUUGUGCGCACAGGUCACAACAUAAAUUCCAAUAAUAGCAUUAAAAUUGGAACCACCUGUGCGUAAAGGACGCAUCACGCUUCAUGGCCUGGCUGUGUUUUUCAUAGAUGUUGGCAUAAACAGUGCAUCUGGAAAGUAUUCAUACCACUUCACUUUUUUCACAUUUUGUUAUGUUACAGCCUUAUUCCAAAAUGGAUUAAAUUCCCCUUUUCCCUCAAAAAUUCUACACAAAAUUCCCGAUAAUGACAAAGUGAAAAACUUUUUUUAAGAACAUUUUGCAAAUUUAUUAAAAUUAAGAACACUCAAAUGUUGCAUAUACAUAAGUAUUCACACCCUUUACUCAAAACUUGGUCGAAGCACCUUUGGUAGCGAUUACAGCCUCCAGUCUUCUUGUGUAUGAUGCAACAAGCUUGGCACACCUAGAUUUGGGGUUGGAGGUUGUACUGGGAGGUUGGAUGGGCAGCAUUGGUGCACAGCUACUUUCAGGUCUUUCAAAAGAUGUUCAAUCGGGUUCAAGUCUGGGCUCUGGCUGGGCCACUCAAGGACAUCCAGAGACUUGUCCUGAAGCCACUCCUUUGUCUUCUUGGCCAUGUGCUUAGGGUCAUUGUCAUGCUGGAAGAUGAAGCGUCGCCCCAGUCGAAGGUCUCGAGCGCUCUGGAGCAGGUUUUCAUCAAGGAUUUCGAUGUACUUAGCUGCAUUCAUUUUUCCCUCGAUCCUGGCAAGUCUCCCAGUUCCUGCCGCUGAAAAACAUCCCCACAGCAUGAUGCUGCCACCACCAUGCUUCACUGUAGGGAUGGUAUUGGCGAGGUGCUGAGCGGUGCCUGGUUUCCUCCAGACAUGACGCUCGGCACUCAGGCCAAAGAGUUCGAUCUUCGUUUCAUCAGACCAGAGAUUUUUUUUUUCUCCUGGUCUGUGAGUCCUUCAGGUGCCUUCUAGCAAAGUCCAAGCGGGCUGUCAUGUGCUUUUUGCUGAGGAGUGAGCUCUGUCUGGCCACUCUACCAUAAAUGCCUGACUGGUGGAGUGCUGCAGAGAUGGUGGUCCUUCUGUAGGGUUCUCACAUCUCCUCAGGGGAACGCUGACCAUCACCGCAGGGGUCAGAGUGACCAUCAGGUUCUUGGUCACCUCUCUGACCAAGGCCCUUCUUCCCUGCUUGCUCAUUUUGGCUGGGCGGCCAGCUCUAGGAAGAGUCCUGAUGGUUCAAAACGUCUUCCAUUUCUUAAUGAUGGAGACCACUGUGCUUUUUGGGAUCUUCAAUGCAGCAGAUAUUUUUCUGUAACCUUCCCCAGAUCUGUGCACCGAUACAACCCUGUUUAGGAGGUCUACAGACAAUUCUUUCAACUUCAUGGCUUGGUUUGUGCUCUGACGUGCUCUGUCAGCUGUGGGAUCUUAUAUAGACAGGUGUGGCUUUCCAAAUCAUGUCCAUUAGCUGAAUUUGCCACAGGUGGACUGCAAUCAAGUUGGAGGAACAUUUCAAGGCUGAUCAGUGGAAAAAGGAUGCACCUGAGCUCAAUUUUGAGUUUUAUAGCAAAGGGUGUGAAUACUUAUGUAUAUGCAACAUUUGAGUGUCUUAUUUUUAAUACAUUUGCAAAAUGUUAAAAAAAAAAAAGAUUUCACUUUGUCAUUAUCGAUUGAACAUCUUUUGAAAGACCUGAAAGUAGCUGUGCACCGACACUGCCCAUCCAACCUCACUGAGCUUGAGGGAAUGUGCAAGGAAGAAUGGGAAAAACUCCCCAAAUCCAGGUGUACCAAGCUUGUUGCAUCAUACACAAGAAGACUGGAGGCUGUAAUCGCUGUCAAAGGUGCUUCGACCAAGUAUUGAGUAAAGGGUGAGAAUACUUAUGUAUAUGCAACAUUUGAGUGUUCUUAUUUUUAAUAAAUUUGCAAAAUGUGCAAAAAAAAGUUUUUCACUUUGUCAUUAUCGGGUAUUUUGUGUAGAAUUUUUGAGGUAAAAAAGGAAUUUAAUCCAUUUUGGAAUAAGACUGUAACAUAGCAAAAUGUGGAAAAGUGAAGUGGUGCUUUCCGGAUGCACUGUAAAAUGAACUUGGCCAUUGGGAUGGGACAGGUUGCAUACUGACUCCUGCCACAUCCAGAAAUACUCAGAUGACACAGCUAUUGUGGCAUUUAUCAGAAAUGGACAAGAAGCUGAAUACAGAGAUCUGAUAAGAGCCUUCAGUGACUGGAGUCACAAAAACUGCCUCCUCCUCAACAUCUCAAAGGAGAUGGUCAUAGACUUCCCCAGAUCCAAACCCCCUCUUCAGCCAGUGAACACCUGUGGAGUGGACAUCAAAGUGGUGACAUCACAUAAAUACCUAGGUGUACAACUGGAUAAUAAGUUGGACUGGUCUAAGAACAUAGACUUAAUAUACAGAAAGGGGCAGAUCCGCCUCUUUUGCCUGUGAAGACUCUGAUGAAUAGACAUCUAUAGUAAGAUGCUGCAGAUGUUUUAUCAGCUCCUCUCUCUUCGCUGCAGGACGGAAAGAGUCAGAAGAUCUUUUGUACCCACAGCCAUCUGACUUUACAAUUAUUCAGUAAAUAGUAGAUGACCUUUAGAGACAUGACAAAUGAGACAACAGACAACUGAAUUUCCCUCCGGGGAUCAAUAAAGUUCUUCUUAUUCUCAACUACAGUGAAAACCCUCUAAUACAAACUCCUGUUUCCUGUCAAUUUAUUUCAAAUACCAUCUUGGCUGCUGAUUGAGUCAGACUGCAUCCACGUUUACUCACCUUUCUGCAUUAAAGCUUUUAGACUUCCUCUAAUGCCAGCUGCCUGUUUAGCUGUGUGAUGUAAACAUCACUGAUGGCACACGCUGUGUGUGGUAAACAUCACACAUACCGUACAGUAUAAAGGAUGAAGAGUAGCAGGAAAUAGAGGAUAAAAACUGUAUGUUAUGGAAACAAAACAUGGCAUUCUUGUCAGUGGUUUGCACAAAUAAUGCUGAAAGUAGGAGAAGGCAGGCAGAGAAAUCUUGGCUUUUCUCUUGGAAAAUUGAUACAAUGGUAUUACCCCAUCAUGAGAUGUUUCAAGUGUUAGCUGUGGUUUAGUUAGGAAGCAAAAGUAAGCUAAAGAUCAAGUAUACAGAUAUUUACUGUCAGUAAGAAAAAUAACACUGACAAAUAUGUUCAUUGACAACAAGUUUGUUUCAUAACUUAAUCUUUGUACAAUAAAGCGCUUAACAUACAAAAAAUCAUGGCUGGGGAAAGGACAAGGAGGUGGAGAUUUAUCUGUUCUGAAUGGCCAGUGUCACCUCAAAUCAGGUGGUGUCAGAGGCUUCUGAUGUUCCCAUCGCCACCAUUCACGAUGUGGUACAUCAAGUCGCUGACAGCAAGCUUGCUAAUUGUGUCUUUGUUUUUAGCUUAGCAAGUAAAGUGCAGUGAAAGGACACACUUAACAGCACAUUUCUGGCCAUUACAAGCCAUAGCAGCUAGACAACAACAACAACAGUGUCCUCAUUACAACAUAUUUUGCAAUAAUACAAGUUAAAAAGGUAAAGAUAAUAAGUUGUAGCACUUCCUCUACUGCUCGGGUGAAAGUUUCACUGCUCUCUACUAUUAGCUUACGCAUCGCUGAAUCUGAUCAUCCAAGCAAAAUGAUCUUUGCACCAACACAAACCUUGACACUAACACCAAAAUUUUACCAUUGGACUCUUGGAAUAAUAUCCUGACAUGGCUAAAAGAUAUAUAAAUAAACAAUUACACAUACCGUGCUAUUGUUUUAUCAAGCAGGCUAUGGGUCCUCUUUCAAACUCCAACCACUGCUGCUUGGUUGGAGUGGGUGUAUGCUCGCUGCUACGACUCUCGGUCGCAGAUGCUGCGUUGCCUUAGCUGCUAACUAAUUCAAAGCAUGCCACUCCUCUAGGUGAUUCAGAAGAUUGCUGUUGCUUUUGUUUGCUGUAGAAAGGAUUUUUGACCCAGUGUUACAGCCCUCAGUAUCAAUAAACACGGUGUUGGGUUCAACUGGUACAGUCUUUAUUUCUUUUUUCCUUGCUUCAAGUACCGUGAAAUGUAAAACAAAGCAAAACUACAAAUCACAUUUCAACAUAACAAAUUCAUACAAACAGUACUUAAAUAUUUGCAUUUUCAUACACUUCACUAUUAAAACAACCACAAUGAUAACAUUCGAAACAAUUUCUCCCCCCGACAUGAUCAAGACCACAUGCAAUUCUAAAUAAUAACACGCCACUCAAAUUAUAUCACACUACCUACCUGUCUUUGCCUACCAAAGGUGCAAACUGGAUCCAAAAAGCCUCUUGUACUCAACCCCAGACCAACUGCACCCAAUGAUAAGAAUGAACAAAUAAAAUCAAUACAAGUAAAUGCUGAGCUUAAUGUCACAGACAGCUGGAAAACCUCAGUUCAACUUUCUUUUAAUUACACUUACUUUUAAUAUUUUCCUCUCUCCACAACACCCCCUCAUUUUUGUGUAGCAAACUGGUGUGUAGCAAACUGACAUGUAACAGACUGGCUUGUAGCAAACCGGCGUGUUGGUGUGCCAACCCCAAAUGUGAAUAACCAGCUCAGCUGGCCACUUACACCCAGUACACAGUUUACGGGCUCUAUUUUCAUGCGCGGACCCUGUGCAGUGGUAUUUUCGUCUGGCGGAGCCCGGUACAGCCAGUUUGGUAUUUUCGUAGACUGAGGCGCGCCGAGGUCCGCCAAGGUGGGCUUGGAUGCACGGUAGGGGGAGGUGUCAACAGAAUCAGCUGGCACAGUGACAUUUUUGCGCUCACCGCCGGCGUGUAAAGUGCGGCGAAAGCUCGCCGAUUCAAACCUGGUCAGCUUUCAGCGCAGGCAAUUCAAUUAAACUUUAUUGAUCGAUAAAUGUUAUGGGAACUGUGUGCUGUUGUAAAACCUUACCAGAAAGAACAGAGUAACACAGCAUUUGGUGACAAAAAUGGAGUUACUGAAUUAAAAAAAAACAACGCGUUACAUUAUUAUUUUCUGAAUAAAGUAAUAGCAUUACGCAACAGCGUUACUACCCAACACGGGUGUGAACACAUAAAAGUCAAGGAGGUCGUUAUGGUAGGAAAGCAGUGGACAGAAACAAUCCAAAGUCUGGCUUAAUUUUACCCCAUUUGAUGCUAAUAGGUGGAAGUACAACAUUUUUGACUGAUUUCAAGUGAGCCUUGACUCUCAUUCCCAACUUCACAAAAAAUAGUCUAAGAAGAUAAAUAGAGUCUUAUUGGCCACAGAAAAACAUUUUUGUUACUUGAUUUGGAAAAAGGAUGGUUUCCCAGUGUAACCUCAGUGGAAAAGCAGGGACAGCACAGCAGUGUUAUAUCCAGAGAGUGUGAUCUGAGUCACAAUCUGAUGAUACACAAGUUAGAGUGUAAAAAGUGGAAAGCUGGAGAUUUACUUACCUUGUACAAACUUGAUACCAGUAUUUUUUAUGGACUAUUUGACUUACUUUGUACACAGGACAUGUUUUAAGGACUAGCUACAAUAUAAUAUUUUUUAUGGACCAAAACUAGACUGACAUGUUUUUACUUGUCAUGGACUAAAACUAGCUGUACUCUAUUAAAGACUUACACUAUAAGGGCACAAAGCCCAAUGUACACCUCUCAAAAUAUAACCAUGUGUCAAAACUAUGUAGGGAGCCCCAUGAUUGGCAGUGGCAGACAUUGUAUUACCACCAUUCCCUGUUGCUGUCCCACCUCCUCUUUCUCAGUGGCCAUGUAGUCCAUCUUGUCUGGCGUCUCCUGUCUUUUCUUCUAUGGAAUAGUUGAAUCAGGAUCAAUUGUUGCACAACAUAAAUAAUAAGUAAAUAAACAGAAACAUAUGACCCUCUGAGUCAUUCGCCACAGUGUCCUGUACAGAAAGAAAAAGGGAAUGGAGCUGGACGAAAAACUGGUGAUAUGACGAGGAUAGACAUCGCACUGCUAACCAACCUUUAGGCAGAGUGCUCAAGAGUGAUACGGACACACUAACACUCACUUUGGCAUCCAGUGCUACAGCAUGGUUACUGUGUAGGUCAGGCAAAGAAGCAUUAACCAGGCUCAAGGUUAGGAGUAAAUCUCGGACAGAUGCCAAAACAAACAUGAUGUGAAAUCAAAAUUCAGUCAGUAUGGUGUUAAAGCAAGGUUUAGUUUUAGCAAAUGUUCAGUCACAAAUCCACCUCAUAAGAUUUUUUGACAAUGACUGAAAAAACAGCUUCGUGGGUUCAUAUCUCCACUCAGCAGUGAUGUAAACAGCUUGAAUUGAAUUGUUGGGAGACCUGGAGUAUUUUUUGAUGACAAUUAUUUUGGUUAGUUUUAAAAUAACCGUUUAUCACAGCGCUCUUAGAUUUAUCACUGGUGAUGGUCAUCUCACGCAUCAUUGUGUACUGUAUGAACACUGACUGGCCUUCUUUAAGUGCACGCAGGAGCAUGCACUGACUGACCCUGAUUUACAAGGCUCUUCUUGGCUUAGUUGCAUCCUAUUUAUGUACUUAACUUCCGAGAACUAAUAGCCGCUACACCCUACAUUCCUGUGAUGUUCUCCACUUCUCUGUCCCUCGCGUCAGAGCUGAACUGGGAAAGAGAGCAUUCAAACUCCUGGAGCCCAUCUCAAUUGGGGCCUUUCACUCCAUGCUGAUGGACAGACAGCGUGAGACCACCAAACACUGCCUGUUCUUCUAAAUUGUUAUUUAUGUUAAAAGCUACUGCACUUUAUCAAAAGACACCUCGCACUCAAUAAGAAAAAAAAUAUGAAAUUGAAAUUGAAAUUACUGUUUACUGUCACUUUACAAUCAUGUUUUAUCUUUCUUUUUUUUUUCUUUUUUUCUUUUUUUAAUGACGUGUGAUGCUGAUCUCUUGGCCAGGUCACCCUUGUGAAAAGAUCUUGACAUAUAAGUUAAAUCAUAUUUGUUGUAGUUAACGUUAGGUCUGACCUAUUUCUCACUGAAGAGACAGAAAGUCUGCUGAGACAGAGGUAGCUUUCAGAUAUAACUAUAUACAGAAUCUGAAGCAGGUCAGUGCUGGGAAAGAUUACGCACACUCAGCUGAAAACCUGCCUCAGAUGAAUAAUGGAGAGAAAACCAUGAAAGAUGUUGCUUGACAUUUGUGUUAUAUGAGUUUGAACAUUCAGUUCAAGGGUACAUUGUCACAUUUCAGCGCUCCUGUGUGAAGAUAACCCGCUUAUGAUAAAGACAAAUAUUUAUACUGAUGCCAGCUACAAAAGUAAACCCUGGUUUUUACUGUCCAAAACUCCCUUCAAGUGGAAGGUGUCAGAUAAUGUAAUAAACCUCAUGCCACAAUUUUUUUUUUUUUUUAAAUACUCUAUUUUGAGUGAUAGUUUUAACUGUUAAAGGUCAUCAGACUGAUUCUUGUUGUUGUCGUUGUUGUUAUGGGUCAUGACAAAAUCCGCAGAUAUCCAUAAUGAGGGUCAGUGUGUCAGAUCAGGGGGUCACAAACCCACAAACUUGAAGGAGUACAUAACGGUACCAACCAAAAUGCCCAGAAAUACUUAUGCCAGUUACUCAACUUGCUGCCCAGAGCCUAAAACCCACAAAGUUUGGUCCAUUGUGUUUCAUCAGCUUUGUACACUAUCCAGCAUAUUCCUCUGUUCUGUUCAAUACUCCACGUUACACAGGAAACACUGCUACACGUCUAAGUUCAUUCCAAGAGGAAUCUGUUAAAGAUACGCACUGCAUGCAUCAGACUGAACAGAGACGAUUGACCUAAACAGGAUGUCAAGCACAGGAUCGGCGCAUAAAUUCCAAAAUAAAACACAACAUGCUGACCUCUGACCGUAUAUCAGAUCAUAUUGAUCAAAAAAUAGUCUUUGGCAAUGGAUUUAUUGUAAACACUGAAUAACCUCAUGGCCCAUCCCUGAUAAUAUUUUCAAGGCUGUCAGUUCCCACCACUCUACGUGUGCUGGCUUUGAUUGUGGUGAAACUGCACAGUCUGACCUUGAUAUAAAACUAUCAUAAAUGCCACAAGAAAAUAACAGUGCAUCAUCUUAAUUUAUGGGAUUGAACAGGAAUUAAAAAGUCAAUUCUACUACGCACUGUUGGACAGAAACUUAAGCUCUAAUAUGUGGUUUUUAUUUCUAUGCCUGUUCCUCCUGUGCAGCUUUUAACAGCUGAUUUUUUUCUUAAACUACAUAUUCCUCUUAUCAUACAAUGCUUCUCAUUAUAUUUAACUAUCUGCUGAUUGUGGUCUGGUUCAUGUCAGUGAUUGGUCUAUCUCCGUUAUCACCUUUUUUAAGUAAACACGCUCACAGUAACUUUUCAAUUUGGGGAGCAGCUUUGUGUGACUGUUUGGUGUGAUUGCCGUUAUCAGAGUCAGUAAAGUCAGAUUACACAAACCUAGAUGAGGUUGCACCACUUGUUUGUUUGUAAAAUAUUAAAUAUUAAGUGAACUUGUCUACACUCAUAAGCAACAUGUUGUGUGCACAUGUAGUUAAAAGCACACCCCUCUUGUAGGAGGUCCACCUUUGGCAACAGAGAUGCUGAGAUGCUGUAUAAAGAUAUUUCAUACCCAGCAGAGUGGCUCCAGACAUUUUUAAUAUUUCUGUUUGUCUUCAAAUUCUCUUUCAUGCUGUUUCACUUUGAGGUACAGCCAACACUCAACACAUACGCCAUCAACCUCAUGUUCAUUUUUGCUUGAUUAAAAAUUUCCUCUCAGCCUUAAUCAUUUGGAAAUGACUAUUGACAAAUUAUUUUCUUCUCUGCCAGUGUUUAAAGUGGGAUCCAUAUCAAAUUGUAUGAACAGAUGUGACAUCCUGUUCUUCUUAGUCAUUGAUGGUGUUAAAUGUACAGAUGUGCGCGGAAGUUAAGCUUUCAAACUCCAAAAAUGGGGCUUUUACAAGGUUAGAAAAUGAUGAGUUUUAUGAUUGAGAGAAUAAAAUCUCAGAGUCCUCGAAUAUUCUUGUUUCAGGCUUUAAUGCAUAUGGGGACAUUAAAGCCUGACACAAGACACAAGUCUUUACCAUAAACCUGUUAAGGAGCAUAGGUGAAUACUGUGUGGGUGCACUACCUACAAAGACCACCCUCUCCAGCAUGCCUGCACCGACCCAGUGAAGCCACGAGUGUCUAUUCGAGACGCAGCACUUAGGUUUGAUUGAUAGACUGCUAUUGAUCUCUGCCUGAUUGAACUAUAAUGCAUCACACAAAAUUCAUCAGUGCUGCAACAACUAUCAGGCAGCACGGCUCAUCUGUCAUCCAGCCCCAUCAGGCCGCUCAGGCUGUGACACAGUGACUGCUAAGGAUGUAAUUGAGCCAGAAGGUGCAGCACACUACUUUUCUGGUAUAAUCACACAUCUGACUGAAACUCUAAAUGAUUGAACAUGCUACAACCAGUUCUAAAACAAGUCGUAAAUAACAUUGUGUGUUAUUGUGCCAACACAGUGCGAGUACAAAUCAUUAGUGGCGCAUUAAUAUCAAUGAUCAUGUUAAAUUUUGGUUGUGGCGCACGUAGUUUAGCAGUGGCAGUGCGCCGCUGCUGAAUGAAUGCAUUUGGAUUUUAUAGUUAAUUAACAAACCAUUUGUCCAACGCUGCAUGUAAAACCAAAUCUGUGUGUAAUAAAUUGAAGUCAGUCUGUUUUUUAAAGCACUAAUGUGGUUUGCAGAGCCCAAAUCCCAAAACUAUUUAGUUCAUCUUUAUACUAAUAGUUUUACCUUAAGGACUCACUCUGAUGAAAUUCAUGUUUUUCUUGUUGUCUACAUGUUCAUACGGCAUUUUUCUGAUGCUACAGGACAUAUCAUGAGGAAACUAAGAGCAAAAUUACAUUUCUGAGUAUUCCUGCAUUCAAAUUGCUGUAAAUCUCUGGCAGACCCAAUCAACAGGCUCAGAUACAGUGAGAUUUCCUACGUAGCAAAUCCAAGCUCUGCCCCCGGAGCCCCGCAAUGCAAGCCAGACUCAGAGAAAUAGAGAGAACAAUUGUGGAACAAGCAUGUGCGGUAGCGGAUAGCAGUGCUUAUAAGAAAUCUAAUUAUGACAUUAGCUUUCAUCAUGCCCCUAAAGACAUAAGUGUCUGAACCUGCCUUUCCUACUACACCAGCAAUGUUAGGCUGCAAGCUCACGUGGAGACAGUAGCGGUUCACGGGGGAGAGUCACGGGGGGACAGCUCUGCUCUGUGUACGCAUGUCAGCAUAUCAGCGGGAGCGCGGAUACGUCAUUUUGUAGUUUUUUAAUCAUUUCUGGAGUCGCGGUGAAUGAAAUCACUGUACCCGUCUGCCUUUGAUAGGCGAAUAAAGCGCUCGGGUUCAUGCUCGGAUCUUGCUACGUGCUUGAUGAGCUUCAUGAGUGAAGUAAACAAUGACUGAGGCAGAGAGCAGCUUCAGAGGAGAAACAUCCAGCAGUGUGAACAACCUCUUCAUAUGGAGUGCUUUGGCUCACACUAUCAGCGUUUUCUCUGAGUGUUGCAUGACUUUGGGUGAGAACAGAGAUGAACACACUGUCAGCCACGUAUUUAUUUAUUAAUUUUUUAGUUUUUAGUUCUGCUUUUGUACUGGCACUAUACUGGGGCAGCUGUAUACCCUUUCAACACCUUAUUUUCUAUAUUUACAUUUGUAUUGAAUGGGCACUUUAUCAUGACUGCCACUUGUUUUACAGAAAGCAAAUUAUUUGUCAUUCUCCAGUGCAGAGCCUUUACUUUUAUUCAUACAGCCGCUUUAUUUCAUUUGAGUUUGUUUGUUCAAGGUUUUCAAAAAUGUGAUGAAGGUUCGCAAAACCAAAAGAGAGCUUUCUUGAAAGCCACAUGUUUAAGCUCUCAAAUACUUUUUGAAUUUUGUUUCUAUCUACUACAGAGGCCGAGAUAGCAGCUUUUUUGUAAACCUCAACACUUCAGAAAACCUCAGGAUCUGGGGGCCCGUCUCAAAAUGGCCCUCAGGAUUGUGUUUUUUUCUAUUGAAGGAUUUCUGCAAUUGAGAAAUAUAUUAUUUUUGUUGUUAUAAUAAUAAUAAUACUACAUAGUAAUACAAAACUAUCUGUUCAAAAUUCUAUCUCUUUUUGUGUUUGGGUGCUCGCCCAGGAGUAAUUUGGUCUAGAACCGCCACUGCGUGGAGAAGUGUGCAGAGCAGCGCUGUCUCAGCCCAUGAAUCAGGGGUGAAUUGCUAAUGAGCUACUGGAGCUCUGCAGAAGAAAAGCCCUUGAAAAUGACACAGGUACCGUGAUUUUGGCUAAAAACUUUGCAAUCAUAAUUUAAAGACCACCUUAAGUAGUAAAACACAAAAAUGAUCAGAGUGGGACUUUAACUCAUUGAAUGCCAUUGCAUGACUUAAUUUUUGGCUUCGAUUUCCCUGUUUACCUCCAACCAGACUGAGACCAUCCUCCCAAAAUCUCAUAACCACUCAGCACAAGACCAGACAUGGCUCACCAAAUAAACAAAGAUAUAAGGCAAACUGAAAUAACCAGCACUCCUCAAUUUUUUUCUGUGUCAAUUUACAGUCUAUAGUUGCCCAACUCUGGAGACAGGAAGAUUGAAGAGCGGUCAUGUUAAUCAAUGUCCAGGGAUUUGCUGUUUAUCUUUAUUUUGAGCAUUUCAACUUUUAUGUGAGUCCUCUUCUACCGUCCAUGUCAACGACAUUGGCAGGAUGGCAGAAAAAUAGAUGGUGGAUAAGUUAGUGUUUAAUUGCUUCCUUGUGCUGAUUUGUGCUGAUAUCAGUAUAUUUUCACCCUGCUGAGCAGCAUUGCCCAUGCCCCCCCUUCCAAUAGUUGAUACAGGAUAGGUUGGAUAUCGAGAUACCACAGAUACACAUAUAUUACAAAUCACAUAAACGCAAUUAAAUGAAGUUCAUGUAUUAACUGGAGCAAGGCCACGCCUUCACCACACCUCCAAUCACCUGACUAACCUUCAUAUACACAUCCAUCCCACUACACUGUCUGUGAUUCUUUGAGGAACACAGACAGACCGUGCGCCGAGCCUUACCAUUCGCUCGCCUUAUAGAAACAUGUAAAAUCAGCCACUCACCAUGAAACUCCAGCUGCAUGACUCAGAUGAGGAUCUGUACAAAGAACUGUCCCAAGCCAAGUUAUCUUUUACCCAGAGAGCAGCAAUCAAACCACAGCCACGCGUCACAGUGGAGCCUCUCACGCUCCGUGCGCUCCCUAAAACAUCAUCCUGAUGGUUCCCAUCAGAUCCCCGGCCUAAUCCCCACCAAGAAGAUCUGUAGACCAAAGGAGCUACAAUCGCAGCAACCUAAUCUGCUCUCCACCACGCCGCACUUACCUUUCAGCCACCGGCAAUCUAACACACCGCAGCGUAGCCUCGCUGAGACGGCCAAUGCCGCACUCACGACCCGUGGAUGACAUCAGCAACAGACCGUCACCCGCCUCUGUCGAUCCCUGAAGACAAGAGGCAUCCCA
This 73481-nucleotide long non-coding RNA is filed under the name Xyrichtys novacula (pearly razorfish). Lineage: Eukaryota; Metazoa; Chordata; Actinopteri; Labriformes; Labridae. The record is from RNAcentral.